CACAACACCAUUAUACUAGGCCUUAGGCAGGAUCUUGCCAGUGCCAACAAGAAGAUCAAGGAAUUAGAGCGCCGCUAAGUUAUCUAGAUUAGACCUUGAGGCAAUACAUCUUAUCUAUCUUUAAAUUCGGUUUAAGUUUGCUAUUAUCAGUUUGUUAUUAUCAGUUUGUUAUCAGUUUGCUAUCAGUCUUUUUGUCAUAAAUGCCUCAAGAUCAAUAAAGAGUAUUACUAUUAUUAUUAUGUUUUGUGUGUCUCUACUUUAUUUUUGUGCAAGAAAGCAGAAAACAAGUAUGGGGGAGAUCCCUCAACAUGCCAAACACACUCCGACUACACCACUCCACGAUUCAGGUACACACUCUGCACACUUUACUUUACACAUAUUUUGGAUUAUGCAGAUUACUGUUUCCGACAUGAUAAAUUAAAAAGAUUAAAAUAUUUCUAAUCAUGAUUAAUCUCAAUCUGUGAUAUUUCCUGAAAACUUGCAAUUAUUAUAAAAUCAUUUUAAAACCCUGUGUUACUUAAGUCAAUAUGGAAUAUGUGAUGGUAGAGUAUGAGUUUCUUAUUCUUGAUAUCAUCGUUGCUUGGAGAACUUAUUUCAAAAUAUUCAAAUUUCUAGCUACCAUCCUCAGUGUUUUAUAUGCCUGAUAAAACUGAAAUAUUAAUUAUGAUUAUAAAAGCUAUCUGCUCUGUAUUGAGUUUGUUCAAAAUGAGUUAGACCCUUGUUGAUUUAUCAUGCUCCCAAGAUCAAGACAUUAUUUCAGAAAGAUUCACUCUUCCGAAGUAUUAUUGCAUUAGAGGCAUGGGCUAUGCAAAAAUAGAAGAUAUUUCGAGGAAAUAAAAAGGAGCAAGUGCUCGACAACCUCGCAGAAAAAAUGGACAAGUGUCCGGCAGUAGAAUUAGGGGUACCUCGGUAUCCACUUAAAAAAAAUAUGAUAGCCCAUGGUCCCUCUAAUAAGCAAUAUGCCAGCAAGAGUUGACAAAGUUUUUAAAGUCUUUGAUCUAAGAGUAUGACAUUCCCCUCCUCGGAUCCCGUUUUGAUCAGGCAAUAAAUGCAAAGUGAGUAUGCUUAAGAAUUUUUGCAAAAUAAAACAACCUCAGUGAGAUAUAUAUACAAAAGAUAAUGAGUGAUCUGAGAGAACCUAUGAGGAUAAAAAGGUAUGCUAACUUUCUUUUAAAAAUAUACAAAAACUCCAAGUGACAGGAUUGAGAAGAAAGGAUCUUUACUCUUAAUCAUAUACUUCCCUGACUAUGGUACACAGUGGAAAUUUUAACACCCUGCAAAUAUAAAAUGCUUUAAAAUGUUUUACCCCAGAUAUUUUUCUUAACCAUCCUUUUCUCGAGGACGAGUAAAAGCCUAAGUAUGGGGGUAUUUGUUGACAGUUCUUAAGUAUCAAUUUUAAUUAUCAAAUAAACAAGAGAAAGGACCAAUAUGCAACCAGCACAUAGAAUUAGGGUUUGAUCUGACAGAAUUCCACGAGUUUUGUUGUUUAUCUAUUUCUGCAGGGGGUUAUCAGGAAAUAAGGAAGAAAGGCCCACAUGUCAGGAUUACAUAGAGAUAUCAACGCACCGCGCAAUUUUACAUCAUCUAGAAGACUCCAGAAGCCACGAGACCGAAGCGGAGGCGAAGCUGGGCCAGGCCCAGGGCGCCCGCCCUGGAAGCCUGGGCGCCCGCCCCCCUUCUGGAGCCAAUUCAGGACUCCUUCGCUCGGGAUAUUCCACCGACCUAUUGGAUCAAGAAAAACAUAGUACCACCUCGGCUAUCGACCCAAAAACGCAUAGAAGGGGAGGACUAUAUAAGCGAGGCCCCCCUGGCCCCUGGAAGAUAUGAAGAAAUUAUCAUAGAGACUGAGGGGUGCCCUCGAAGGAAAACCUCUUCUCUAAUUAAUAUUUAUUUUUAGGCUUAGCAAUCAAUGUAAGGUAGAAAUAGAUCUUCUAGUUUCUACUAGAUUGAGAGAUAUAGAGUGGAGGUGUAGAGUGGAGGAAGCCCGGCCUGUCGGUGUCUACUCCAAGCUUGUACCUGCGGGAUCAAGUUCUCCUAACCCGAAGCUUGCUCCUAGGAUUCUUCAGUAAUUCGACUUCUAAAUUCUAGUAAGUUCUUGUUUUAUUGUUCUUAUGGUUUAUGAGUUUACUUUAAUCUCUUCGCGUAGAGUUUAGAGUAAUCAUUGCUGGCGUAAACGUGGUGUUUAGGCUGGGGUACUCAUAGAUAUUCCCUGACUAGCUGGACCGUGGUAGUAGUGAGGAACGUGACAUUUCCGAGCUACCUUUGUAGAUCACAUCUCGUUAGCAGGAAGGAUAGGGUUUAUAGGUGCGGGUCGAACAUCCUUUGUGGUGUCUAGAUUCCGUUAGCCUCCCCAUUAGAACAGUAGAUCAUCCUUACCAAGGUUAGAAGGAGACUACAGUUGCAGUCUUCUCUAUUUAUCACUCACAUCGAAAGACAUUCUUUGUGCCUAAAGGUUAGUAGUAAUAGACCGGUUAGUCAGAUGCACUCUUUCUCCUAGUGGUAAAAAAUAAAUACGAUACUCUGGAUAAUUUCCCGGGUGAAAUGCUCACCGAUAUCCGUGCGCUUGCGGAUCAAUUCCUUAUUGCGUUCCCAAAUAUCAACACUUGCUUCCAUGUGGGCCCAAGGAUCCAUGUGCUAAGUGUUUGAACCGUUGAGGGCAUGCACACUUGGAUCCAAGGGUUGGGAUUGACUCCUUGGAGUAUGCCAUGGCUCAUGCCAUGGAGGGGAGCCCCUGGUGGGCCCAAACCAUGGUCGGCCGACCUAGGUUAUGGGGCCCAUAGGGCUCAUUUCCUUCUUCCAUGCAUUUAACAAGCUAAGAGUACAUGUGGAACUUUAUUAGUGAUAAAUAUGUUCAUGUGAUGCUUAUCUUCCUUCAAUCGAGGACUAUUGAUAGGCUUUUCAGUAUAUAGAACUGGGUGUUAUUUCCUGUCAACAAGAUCCCCCAAGCUUAACCUUUGCUCGUCCCGAGCAAACAAUCAAGACUUGGUUCGAUUAGAUCAGGUAUUAUCACUAAGUUAACAUCUUAAUAGUACUAAGUGCACAACAAAGAACUUCUCCUUGAAUGGAAAACUUAGCAAUGCUAACACACCAAUGUUACUCCAGCCAUGGGGCUUAUAACAUUAACUCAGUCUUGGGAUGUUGAGAGAUAGAAUAGCUUUGAGUGGACAUCUACUUUUCUCAUUCUUUAGCAAGUUUCAUGCUAGAGGUUUUUGCUAAGUUUUUCAAAAGAAAUCUUAAUGUUCCUCAUAUGGUUUCUCUCAAGUCACUUAAGUGGUGUAUAAAUCCUUACCGAGGCAUAUGAGUAAGUUGCCUUCUCUAUGUAAUCCUACUAUAAUAAAGGCUUAUGUGGAUCUCAAGGUAGGAACAAGGGGAUGGCGUACUUACAUUGCAUAUGUUGUGAAGUCAAACCUCGGAUCCUUGGAGGAAGAGUACUGUCAUGCUCGAGAUCAAGAUAUAUAUGUGAAAAGGUGGUAAGAUUUUGAUGGCUAGAUGGCCCCUUUAUUUGAUUGUGCUCCCUCUAUUUUUUCUAUUGAGACAAGGCUAGCAUUUUUCUCUCUUUUUUUCAAGGACUUGAUGAUGUCCUUUCUAACAAGAUGAUUAUUUUUCUAUAGCCUUUGUUUGUGUCUCAUCUAACAUUUAGCUAUUAGAGAGAGAUUCUACACUUAGAGCCUGGAGCAUCUAUAUUUGGUGGAAUGGAAUGGAAUGGUAUGGAAUGUUGCAUACUCCCAGUGUAGGAGCAGCAGAUGUAUGUGGAUGGUGUGGAUCUUGAACUCAUUGAGCAUGACACAACUCUAAACCAAGGGUCAACAAGAGUUGACAACUCUCAACACAAGCAAGCAGCCUAUGUGCUGGGUUUCUAUCAUGUAGAGCAAAUAUGGCUUGUGGUAGGAAUUUAACACCAUUGAGGAACAAUUAAGUUUUUAUUCAUCUUUAAAAAAAAUAAAUUCUCUGGCAAUCAUGCAUGCUUAGAACAAUAGUAUAGAUCUCUUAUCUUAGCUAUAUCAUGUCUCACAACAACUUAGACUUGGUUUUAGCACUUGCAACCCACUAAGUAUUUCAAGUUCAUGAUGGUUAAGGAUGCUAAGUAGUCCAUAAUUAGAGAAAUGCUAAGUUGUAAACAAGUACUAGAGAGACAUUAACUAGCAAUUUCAUCAUCAUUUCCAUAGGAAGGAUAGCACACAUGAAGCAUAUAUAUAAAAAGGAAAUAAAGUGAAUAAAUAUUUUUGGAUUUUUUUAUGCAAGAAGGAAACAAACAAAAUGCAAUAAAACAAGAAUUAAAUUAGGGGGGUUGGAAACUCACCUUGGAUAAACUUACCUUAGUAGGGAAGAGAAUCUCCCCAAGCUUGUCUUCCCACUGGUCCCAUCGGUAUUCACUCUCAGCUUGGAGGCUUUGGGCCAUGUGCAAGUUCUCUUGCAUGAGCAGCAAGGUGGUCUGUGGUCCGAUGUUGAUGUUCUCCAUAUCGCUGAUGAGUGUCUGCAUUUUGGACGGUGGUUGGCGCCUCCCUCUACCAUGAGGGCGAGCUAUGCGCGCUGCUGAAGAUGUCCUAGAGUGAUGAGGUGUUUCCAUGUGCAUGGAGUCCACCUCAUCCUCCUCUUGUGGUGCAGCAUAAGAGGGACCAACUUGCUGUUGAGCAGCAUGGGACCGUGCUCUUAUCAUUCUGUCGGUACCUGCAACAGGGUUAGCUCUAUUCUCUCUUCCUAGCCUCAGGGUUAGUGAUGAAGCAUUAUACAACCAAAGCUCCUCAUUGGGGAGAGAGACCUCAAUAGGAUGGUUCCCAUAAAUCAUUUUAAGGCCAUUUUUGGGAUCUCUCUUAAUCAAAUUAGCACUCCUAAAUAUCUACUCACCUAAGAGAGGUCUAUCAUCCUGGAUGUACUCUACUUCAUUUGUUUCAAGGAAACUCAUAGAUUCAGCAAUUCUAGUGAUAAGUGAAGUAAAGCAUAGGGGAUUGACUACUUGGAUCCAACGGUUGGGAUUGACUCCUUGGAGUAUGCCAUGGCUCAUGCCAUGGAGGGGAGCCCCUGGUGGGCCUAAACCAUGGUUGGCCGACCUAGGUUAUGGGGCCCACAGGGCUCAUUUUCUUCUUCUCUGCAUUGAACAAGCUAAGAGUACAAGUGGAACUUUAUUAGUGAUAAAUAUGUUCAUGUGAUGCUUAUCUUCCUUCCAUCAAGGACUGUUGAUGGGCUUUUGAGUAUAUAGAAUUGGGUCUUAUUUCCCAUCAACGCCAAGCCUCUCCCGAUAUGCACCUGGUUCGCUCAUAAGUAUCUGAUUCUACCGAUGCAAUAAUGUAGGAAGAAUCCCCAGGGACAACUUCAAUUUUAUCGCCUACCCAUUGAACAAGGCACUGAUGCAUCAUAGAAGGGAUACAACAAUUGGCAUGAAUCCUAUCUCUCCCUAAUAGUAGAUUGUACGCGCCCUUUCCGUUGAUGACAAAGAAAGUUGUCGACAAGGUUUUGCUGCCGAUGGUCAGUUCAACGCAUACAACUCCUUUAGCUAGAGACACAUUACCUUCAAAAUCUUUCAGCAUCAUAUCGGUCUUGGUUAAAUCCUAAUCUCCUUUACCAAGCUUCCGAUACAUUACAUAUGUCAUAAUAUUAAUUGCAGCCCCUCCAUCAAUAAGUAUUUUAGAGACUAGCUGCCCAUCAACCCUGCCUUUAACGAACAAAGCUUUAAGAUGUUGCCUUUCAUCAUCAGAGGGUUUCUCAAAAAUAGCCAUCAUUGGUCAAGUGCCAACUGAGCUAUUUGAUCAGAGAUACUAAUUUCCUCAUCAUCACUAGAGGGUGCAAGAAAUUCCAUCGGCAACAUAAAUACCACAUUGACAUCUGCCGAUGGUCCCUUCCCCUUGCGGUCUAACUGCUGCUGAUUUUCAAACUCAGAAGAUUUUUCUUCCCUAUACAAAUCUUCCUGACGUUCCCGUUGCAUUCUCCUCCUCUGUGUUCUUGUCAAACCCUCUGGACUACUUCGGGGAAGCUUUGUCUUCCAAACUGGCUGAUAGCGCACCUCCUUCCACUCUACAUGAUGAAUGUUGGAAUCUCUGCAAAAUAUGAAUUCAUCGAAACCCGUGCAUUUGCCAUCUCUUCAUGUUUCCCUUGAUUCCUUGGGAAAUGAUCGACACAUCCAACAAGCCUUUCAUGCACAUUAAGCCUGGCCCCCAGCCGAUCAUGUAUUGAUGUUCUCCCCCUGAUCGACUCAUUAAAACACCGAUUAUUGGCUUGGAAUAUCUGAUUUGGCCGAUUAUGUUCACGGUAACCAUUGCACUCAAGACAGUCUUCAAUAGUCGGCAAUUUGAUAUCUCAUUCCCAACAAUGAAUAAAGAAUGGGCAAUCCUAAUGAUUUUUAUGCCGAUUCCACUCCUCCCGACGUCUAUCCUCUUGUUGACGCUGAUAUCGAUCCUCACGCUGUUGCCAAUUCUCUUGUUACCGUCUAUGAGUGAUUACUACGCCAGAUUGGGGAGCUGUCUAGAACUGCUGCCUUCCCUCAACAAACCCUUUCCUUUGGCAUCAUUGGUAGUUAUCUGGUGCUGGGGAUCUACCGAGGCAUUCUUCUCAGCCGUUUCUGAUGUCAAGACUUUAGUCUUACCCUUGGCGUCUAACAUAUUCGUGGGGAAAGGGUGUUGAUCAAUCUUCAUCACCUUCUGAGUUUUGGAAUUAUCGAACUUGUUUCUCCUAGAUUCUAUAGCUGAUUGCAACUGCUUCCUGAACACUUUAUAUUCAUUUGUACUAUGCGAAGUUGCAUUAUGCCAUUUGCAAUACUUAAUCUUUUUCAGCUCCUCCACUAAUGUUAUUACAUGAUUGGGUGACAAUUUAAUCUGCCCCUACUAAAGCAAAAAAUCAAAUAUCCUAUCGGCUUUGGUGAUAUCAAAAGCAAAUCUCUCUGGUUCUCUCUGGCCAAAAGGACAAGACAUCGGCUUCUUAUUUUUUACCCACUCUGCCAAGCCGAUGACUGGUUCUUCAUCAGAAUCAGAACUUCCUGCCUCAUCAACAAAUGAUACUUUCUUAUUCCAAGUCUUUCUAGGUUCAAAAGCCUUGACAUCUUGAUCAGAAAUCCUCUGCACCAAAUGACACAAACUUUCAAACUCUUGAGAGGCUUAUUUAUCUUUGAGAUGUGGUAGCAAUCCUUGAAAGGCUAAAUCGGCUAACUGCCGAUCAUCCAGACCAGGCUGUAACAUUUGUUCUUUACAUCCCGCAGCCUCUACACAAAGCUUUCCACCGAUUCAUCAUUAUGUUGUUGUAACCUUACUAAAUUGGUAAUCUUCUUCUCAUGAACUCUAGGAAAGAAGUACUUAUGAAAUUGUUUCUCUAAAUCGGCCCAGGUGAUGACUGAAUUUGGAUGUAAUGAAAUAAACCAGGUAAAAGCCGAUCCCGACAAGGAUGAUGAAAAUAAAUGAACUCUUAAUUCAUCUCUGUUAGCAGCCUCUCCACAUUGAAUGAUGAACUGAUUAACAUGCUCCAUGGUUGAGGUAUCAUCUUGUCCAGAGAACUUAGUGAAAUCCAGUACCUUGUACCGAUUUGGGAGCGAAAUUAAAUCAUAUGCAGGAGGAUAUGGUGUCCGAUAAGAGUAAGUAUUAACCUUGGGUUUUAUCCCAAACUGAUCUCUCAUAACUUCUUCUAUCUUAUCGGCCCAAUAGGCAUCAACAUCUUGCCGAUGUACAGGUUGAACUUCUGGCACCUGGUAAUACGCCUCCAUGUGUCUCUGGGGUAUACGGUCUCCAGCAAACAUCAUAUUAGCCAUAUCUUGCGGACCACCGAUCUGCUGAGCAAGAUUCAUCGGUUGAACUGCCGGUGCCUGAUUCUGAAAACCGACCCGCAUAUGUCCCUGUUGGACUCCUACAACCUGAUGAUUCUACUGCGUCGUAUGUGGGAAGACCAACUGUCCCAUCCAACCAUUGUUAGCAUUCAUCAGCACAAGACUCACUGAUGGUUGGUAAUUAGUUGUUAUUGCUAGAUUGACAUAACCCACGUGAGACAUAAACCUCUGUUGUGUCGGCACUGGAUUUGCCGAUGAGUUUGCAUUAGGCAUCUGGAACGUUGACGUCUGAAAAUUCCCAGCAAUUGGCCUCGCAGUAGUUGUUGUGGAAUACUGAGGUACCUGAGUCAUCGAUGAAACUAGAAGCGCCGAUGGCAUGGGAGUCUUCCCUCCUAAGUCAGUCACCUGAGAUGUUCUAGAAGUAUUUGCAAAGAAUUUUGGAGGCAUACCAUAUCCCCACUAGUUGGGAGGAACCUGACAUUUUUGAAAUACAGACCCUGACAUAGCCGAUGCCAUGAGAUCUGUAUUGAGCUGGACCCGUCCCCCUAAGGUCAUUGGAUCAGAUCUCAUCGGUGUAGAUGGCUCAUUAACCAACCCUGCUGUGCUUGAAGGAGAAGUAACCUCUGUACCCGCAACGGCUGAAGGAGCCGAUGGAGCCACAACUGAUGAUAAUCUUGGCUAAUGAUAGGCUGGGCCAGCAUAAAGUGGUGGUGUCUAUCCUUCUUUAAAAGUUUGAACCAUAGCAUUGUAAACAGUAUUGGACAGCACAUUGGAGUGAUUAAUCAAAGCAUUAUUAACAACAUUAUUAACCAUGUCUUGCAAUUUACCAGGAUUGGGAUCAAAGGUAACCUGCCAAGGUAACGAUAGAUCUUGCUUCUGAAUAACCUCCCCGCUCCUAUUCACACUGAAGGCUUUCAAACAGAGCUGCUUGUAUUCCUCCAUAGCCCUCUCCAUAGCUUGCCUAUGUUCUUCUCUGAGAUCAGCUUCUAUUACGCCAAUAACGUUGUCUGUGUCGAGAUGAGAAGUAGCCAUGUCAAUCCUUGUAGAUGAAUGUCCCACUGGGUGUGCCAAACGAUGUGUUGAUGCAAAAAUAAAUCUACAAACACAAAGGGCUAAUACCCAAUUUCAAUAUCAAGGCGUACUAGCCGAUUUGACGUAGCAAUCGACAAAGGUGAUACCUUGAAUACUUUGGUCCCAACAACACUGAUGCGCCCCGAUGUCACGGCCAAGAGGUACUCACACGGAACUCAAGAAAUCAUCGAGUAUGACUCGCCGAAUCCUUGAGAACUCGUAAACAGAAAAAGUAUACGAAUUGACGAAGUCGUCGAGAAGUUGACGUAAAAGUAGAUGUAAAACUUGUGUUUGGUAUUGAUUUAUUCUUUUACAUCACUCCUGGGUUUAUAUCUGUACCCUAGCCCCUAAGAGUUACAACCGAACACGAUUAAGAUUCAACUAAAGUAAAUGAGACUCCUAUGUCCAUCCUAGUUACGAUGAAGUCUUCAUUGGUUCCUGCUUCAAGUCUUCAUCGGCUUUAUGUUCCAAGUCUUCAUCGGCUCCUGUCCCAUUGGCACAUAGAUGCCUCUUCAGCAACGAUUUUCACAUCCUCCUCCAUCGGCAUUUGUGAUCAAUCAUCCUUUAUCAGCAUCGGCAAUCAAUCGACAACAAUCAGUAGUCGUCAUUUCCAACCCCAGGCUAGCAGAAUCCUCCCACCAAUCAUCAUUCUAUCAUCGGCAUCAUUCGAAUCAGCUAUCGGCACUCUUCUAUCGAUUUGGCACAACAACUUCCCCACUACCAAUCAGUCCUCCUUAACCAUCUUGUCUCAUGCCUAAAAAUGGUGUCAACAUAUAGUUAAACCAUGGAUCCAAAGAAACUAAUCAUACAAUCAAAUCAUAUGUGUAUGUGGAUAAGAGGAGUAAAGUAAGUGAUAUAAAUGGUGAUGAUGAUAGUAGUGGAGAUCUAAUUUUACAUUUGCUCCUUGGUGAUGACAUACCUCCCUUAUUUUGAAACUGAAGACCUUGGAGGAACUUGGCGUGCUCUAUUACUUUUGUUUCUUGGGACAUUUGCCCUCUUUCUUUCUUUUCUUUCUCUUUUUUCUGAGAGCAACCAAGCCUCUUACUAGAAAUAUAUUAAUAGGGAGUGAUAACUGGAGUAACUAGAGCUUUAUUGGAUGACGGAAAAAGGAUAGGAUGGCAACAUAUAUUUUUGGUGUUCACUCCCACUGUAGGAGUAGAACAUUUUCUAAAUGAAUGAAGUGUAUGCAUGUGAAUAAAGGAAUGCGUACUCCCAGGGUAGAAGCAGCAUAGGUGCAUGGAGUGUGUAUAUAUGUGGGUGGUACUUCUAGGAAUAGAAGUAGCAGAGAGUAAAUGGGGGCGUACUUCUGAGGACAGAAGCAGCAUAGAUCAAUCGAUGGAGAGCACAUAAUAUUGACUUUAACUACAUGACUAAUUCCUAAUGGUCAACAUACCUUAACUACAUGCAAUGCCUACAAGCAGUAUAUAAAGUGGAUGGCUUUCCAAAUCUAGUAAGCAUGUAUAUUGGCUGUGGUAGGAAUUUAAACUCUAGUCAUACAGGAACUCAUCAUGCAGCAAUUUUGGAUUUUCAAAGAUAAAUUCUCUAGAACUCUAGUAUCUCUAGGAACAAGAUGGAUAGCAGCUCAAAACCUUCCCACAUCAUAUCCGUCAACUACCUAGACUUAGAUCAAUCCUUUGCUACCCAUGAGUUUUAGGUUCAGAGCAAACCUCAAAUCAAUAUAGUUGUUUCAAAACUCAGGAGAGUUCGAGGUUGAAAACUAGGUACUUGAAAGGAAUUACAACAGAGCAACAAUUCAUCAUUUCCAUACAAGAGAUUAUUUUAUAGGGUUUAUUUUAGCAGGCAAUUUCUUCCAAUACUCUCCUAAAUUUUAUUUAGCAAACUUAAUAUCAAAUAAAAAGAUAGAUAUAGAUAUAAAUAAAUAGGGAAAUCCUUAUUUGGGUUUCUAUGGUUAUGCAUCUUUUUAUUUGUUUCAGAUUAAAAUAGCACACUUAAUAAAUAGAUAAGUGAGUGAUACUUAGCUGGAUAAACGGGGGUGCUCUCCUCCAUGCUGGAUGUUAACGUAGUCUGUUAGCGUUGCUAACUGACAGUGAAGGCGUACUGGUCCUCCUAGAGUGUUAGGGAUGGUUGUCACUGUCUCCUGCUUGGAACUCGGCCUCUGUUGUAGCAUCAGUCACUGUUUCCUACUUGGAACUUUUCUAGCUUACUGCACCUCCAUUUAUCAUGAACACAAAACCUGAUUGAGAUUGUGAAUCAUCUGUGUCAGUUUGGAAGCUAGCAUCGGUGUAACCAUUUACAACGAGCUCCUCCUCACCUCCAUAGAUUAGGAACACAUCUUUAGUCCUUCUCAAGUACAUAAGAAUAGUUUUAACAAGUGUCCAGUGACUUUCACCUAGAUUAUUCUGGUACCUGCUUGCAACACUUAGAGCAUAUGAGACAUCUGGGCGAGUACAUUUCAUGGCAUACAUGAUGGAACCAAUUGCCGAAGCGUAUGGAACUUUACUCAUGCGUAUGCGCUCUUUAUCUGAUGAAGGACAUUGCUUACCACUAAAACGCAUACCAUGUGACAUAGGCAAGAACCCUCUCUUAGAUUGUUCCAUGUUGAACCAUUUCAACACAUUGUCUAUGUAUGUAUCUUGGCUUAAUCCUAUUAGCCUUUUGGACCUAUCUCUAUAGAUCUUAAUGCCCAAAAUGUAUGUUGCUUCUCCUAAAUCAAUCAUAGAAAAAGUAUUAUUCAGUGAAGUCUUUACUGAUUGCAACAAUGGAAUGUCAUUCUGAAUCAAUAAUAUGUCAUCCACAUAUAAGAUUAGAAAUACAACAGCACCCCCACUUUCCUUCUUGUAAACACAAGGUUCUUCUUCAUUCUGACGAAAGCCAAAUCCUUUGACCACUUCAUCAAAACAAAUAUUCCAACUCCGAGGUGCUUGCUUUAAUCCAUAAAUGGAUUUCUUAAGCUUGCAUAUUUUUUCAGCAUUAUUAGGGUCAACAAAACCUUUAGGUUGUAUCAUAUACACGACCUCUUCCAAAUUUCCAUUUAGAAAGGCUGUUUUAACAUCCAUCUACCAUAUCUCAUAUUCAAAAUAUGCAGCGAUUGCUAGGAUGAUCUAGAUAGAUUUAAGCAUCGCUACUAGAGAGAAAGUCUCAUUGUAGUCAAUUCUUGAACUUGCCUAAAACCCUUCGCGACAAGUCGAGCUUUAUAGAUGUGAACAUUUCCAUCUAUAUCCUUUUUCUUUUUAUAGAUCCAUUUGCACUCUAUGGGUCUAACCCAUCAGGCGGAUCAACCAAGUUCCAAACUUGAUUAUCUCUCAUGGAAUCUAUCUUGGAUCUCAUGGCACUUUGCCAUUUCUCGAAAUAUGGGUCCAUCAUUGCUUCUGCAUAAAUUGCAGGUUCGUCAUUGUCUAACAAUAACAAUUCCCCAUGCAAUUCACGAAGUCUUGCUGAUCUUCGUAGUUGUGGUGGUGUUUCUACCACGGGCGUCUCAACUUGUUCUGCUAUGUUAGCAUCGCUCGUAGAGUCUGUCCAUUUUUCUCCCUUUUGAGAAACUCUUUCUCUAAGAAAACAAUGUUUCGAUUAACAAACACUUUUCCCUCUGUCCGGUUAUAGACAUAAUACCCUAAAGUUUCCUUUGGGCAUCCUAUGAAAAAGCACUUGUCUGAUUUGGGUGUUAGUUUAUCUGAUAUAAGUCGUUUGACAUAAACUUCACAACCCCAAAUUUUUAGAAAAGACAAACUAGGACACUUACCAGUACACAUCUCAUAUGGUGUCUUAACUACAAACUUAGAUGGUACCCUGUUUAAAGUGAAAGCGGCUGUUUCUAGAGCAUAUCCCCAAAAUGAUAAAGGUAGGUCUGAGUGGCUCAUAGACCAAACCACGUCCAACAAAGUUCGAUAAUGUCGCUCAGAUACACCGUUCCUCUGAGGUGUUUCGAGUGGCAUAAGUUGUGGAACGAUUCCACAGCUCUUUAGAUGUUUGCUAAAUUUGUGACUCAAAUAUUUGCCUCCACGUUCAGAUCGCAAAUCCUUAAUUUUCUUACCAUGUUAAUUCUAUACUUACAUUCUGAAAUUCUUUGAACUUUAAAUGUUUCCGACUUAUGUUUCAUUAAGUAGACAUAUGCAUAUCUACUAAAAUCAUCAGUAAAAGUUAUGAAGUAUUGGAAUCUGCCUCUAGCUGUCGUGCUCAUUGUUCUAGAUCCAUCAGUAUGUAUAAGUUCCAACAAGUCAGACGCUCUCUCAGCAAAACCUAUGAUAGGUGCCUUGGUCAUCUUUCCUAGUAAGCAAGACUCACAUGUCCCGUAUGAUUCAAAAUUGAUAUUUGCAACAAAACUUGUGGAAAGGUUAGUUCAAAGCCCUACCAUCUAUUUAUUUUAUUUAUUAAAAUGAUGUUUAUAAUUAUAAGAUAAGGGGUACCAACAACAUUAAGACUAGCUCAUAAGAAUAAUCAAAUGCUCAUUGCUUGACCGCUAACUCAUUAUUAAAUACGAGCCUCGAGUUUUGUUUUUCUUGUUGGAGUACUACUAUGCAGGAAUGAUAUCAUAACAAGGAGAGAGUCUAUCGGUGGCACCCACCAUCGCCACUGGCCAGCUCGCUCUAAAGGACAUCAACACCAAGUAUUGCAAACAUCCAGCUUGGGGGAGGAGCAUCCCCUAGUUAUCAAGUAAUCAUACCUAAGCAAUUAUCGAGUCUAUAUAGUCACUAAAAUACCAAAAAUAUGUGGGCACAUGAAGGUCCACAAGACAUAGAGUCUUUUAUGAGUUUAUAAUUAGCUAAGUGUUAGAGUCUGUUUAGAGUUAGUCUAAACUAGAGCUAAAUAAAAAUUGAUGAACAUUAAAAUUUUGUCUUGAAAAUGAUGAAUAGUCGCUCUACUCUUUACAAGUACCUAGAUUCCAACGAUAGAUUUUCUCGAGUUUUAGACAUUACUGUUUUAAUUUGAAGAUUUCCUCUGAACCUGAAUUUUGUGGAGGCAUAAGUUGAGCUAAGUCUAGGUAGUUGGUUGAUAUGAUCAUUGAAGGUCUGAGCUGCUAUUUAUCUUAUUCCUAGCAUUACUAAGUUCUCGAGAUUUAUUUUGAAAACCCAAAAAUCUACAUGAUGAGCUCUAGUAUGACAGAAUAAUUCCUACCAAAGCCAUAUAUAAUAUAUAUUUAGGGUUAGGAAAAACAUUUGCACUUUUAUGCUGGUUGCUUUCAUUGAGUUCAGUCAACCUUUGUCGUAUACCUUAUGAGAGUCUUGCCAUGCUUUCUAAAUCAAGAUCACGUACACACUCGAGUUCAUAUAUGCAUUAUUCCCACACUAGGAGUAAACACCAACAAUCACCCUAUAGGAUAACCCUUGUCUUUAACGUUCUAAGUUCUUGUUAUUGUCCCUCAAAUCAUUUAUUGUAUUUAAAAGAUACAUGUGGCUAUGCAAAAAUAUAAAAGAACAAAAGGGAGUAAAAGAUGGACAAGUGUCACAAUAAUUAAAAUAAUGGGUACUAGAUGCCCACCUCCCUUUGCUUAAAAAAGAGAUAGCCCAUGUCUUUCCUGAAAAGUCUCAAUAGAGAGUUAUUCCCAAAGAAAUAAGAAUUAGCCACAAAUACCACAAAUUAACCUAUCCACCAUAUUCCAUACUGAAAUGUCCUAAUAUGGCUAGAGGGGGGUGAAUAGCCUAUUAAUAAUCUACAAACUCACUAGAACAAGAGGUUAGUAAAUAACAAAGCAAAGCUUUUUGCUCUAGCUCUAAUGGGGUGUUUGGAAGCCACCUAUUCAACAAUUCUAGUUGAUAAGAUCGCUAGGCACACAAGAGCUAUGUCACUACAAGCUACACUAGUGAGCUAUACUCACAAGGCAAAGUGACCAACUAAACUAAUUACACUACUUUGCGGUAAAUGAAGAAUAGGAUGAGAUAUUUAUACCACCGUGUAGGGGAUGAACCAAUCGCCAAUACAGACAAUCAAACACCGAGAGAAUGUCAAUCAAUCACAAUUGAGACACCAAUUUUUCUCCCGAGGUUCACGUGCUUCCCGGCACGCUACGUCCCUAUUGGUCGACCAACACUUGGUGGUUCGGCGGCUAAGAGGUGUAGCACGAACCUCGUCCUCACUAGGACACUACAAGAACCUAUCCACAAGUGAGGUAGCUCAAUGACACGAGCAAUCCACUAAUGUUGCCUUUUGCUCUCCGCCGAGGUAGGCACAAACCCCUCACAAUCACUGGGAGAUGGCCACAAACAAUCACCAACUCGUGACAAAGCUCCUCCGCUGCUCCAAGCCAUCUAGGUGGCGGCAACCACCAAGAGCAACAAGAAAACCGCAGCUAGAAUGAUCCCCAAGUGCCACUAGAUGGAAUCACUCAAGCAAAUGCACUUGGAAUCACUCCCAAUCUCACAAAGAUGAAUAAUCUAUGAAGGAGAUGAGUGGGAGGUGUUUGCUUAGGCUCACAAGGAUGUCAAGUAUGCUAGAAUGCCAAGAGAGUGAGCCCCAAGCCGGCCAACAUGUAUUUAUAAGCCCCUCAAACAAAUAGAGUCGUUGGCUCUUUCACUGGGCAGAAAUCGGGACCACUGGACGUGCCGUAGGAGACCACCAGAUGCACAGACCCUGCGUCUGGUGCUCUAGAGGAAGCCACGUGUCCCCCUUUUGAACCAGGCACGUUGAUCUCUAACAGUCAAAACUGAGUCAUCGGAUGCGCUCAAGUUAGCACCAAACGCGUCCGGUGCACACCGGUCACGUGCGCAGAGAGGUCUGCAAACACACAACCUCACCAGACUCAUGCGCAUAGAGGGUUGCAAACUGCGUGCACACUGGACUCACACCAACGGAUGCACCCUGAGCGUCCGGUGCUCUUAGUCAGAAACCCCCUACGUCCGGUGCCCUGCGUGCGGUGCUCAACCCUAACAGGGCCUAGCACUGACAACACAACCGUACCCUAAGGGCCAGCGUCCGGUGCCUCUGCACACUGCAUCCGAUGAGAAACACUCACGCAACUUCCCCAAAUUUCCCACCAGUGCAAUAGAAAAUAUGCAUUUCAUUUUCUCAAAAAGCGCCGAAUCCCGCCAAGCAAGCUCGGCGGGAGGGAGAGAGGAACCCAAACCUCUCUCUACCCUUCAACUUUAACCUCCUUCUCAAAGUGUGCUAACACUACCAAGAGUGUACCAACAAGUGCACGUGUCUUAGCAUUUUCACAAUCAUUUUCUUCAAAGGAGUUAAGUUAGCUCACUAGGUUCUAAAUGCAUGCUCAUGAACAAUGACACCUAGUGGCACUUGACAACCGUUUAGCCAAAGAAUUCCCCACUUUAUAGUGUAGCUAUCUAUCCUAAAUGUGAUCACACCCUGUAUGGUGCCUUGAUCAUCAAAACCAAAACCCUAAGCAAUACCUUUGCCUUGAACUCCAUGGGGUUUUGGUUUUCUCUUUCUUCUUUUCAAAGUUGAGCACUUUAUCAUCUUGUGGUCAUCAUCAUCAUCACCAUGAUCAUCACUUGCUCCAUCACUUGGCAUGUACCAACCUCAUUAAGUCUACACACACUUAGUAUAGAGGUUAGUACUAGGGUUUCAUCAAUUAUCCAAAACCAAACUAGGGCUUUCAAUCUCCCUCUUUUUGGUAAUAGAUGACAACCUUUUUACAAAGAUUUUAAAUAAAAUAUUUUUGGACUCAUUGAAAGGUCCUAAUAUGGCUAGAGGGGGUGAAUAGCCUAUUUAAAAAUUCUACAAACUCAUUAGAGUAAGAGGUUAGUAUAUAACAAAGCCAAGCUUUUGCUCUAGCUCUAAUGGGAUGUUUGCAAGCCACCUAACCAAUAAUUCUACUUGCUAUAAUCACUAAGCACACAAGAGCUAAGUCUCUUCUUACACUAGAGAGCUACCUAAAGUUUCUAUACAAGUAAGCUACUCUAGUUUGCAAGAAAAUAAAAGAAGGUAAUGCAAAGUUGAGUUAGAGAUGUUAUACCACCGUGUAGAGAGAUUGAUCCAAUCGCAAGAGAAUAUCCAAGAUAACUAAGAAUCCAAUCAAUCACCAAAUAACCAAGGGAGACAAAGAGACACAAGAUUUUUCUCUCGAGGUUCACAUGCUUGUCGGCACGCUACGUCCCCGUCGUGUCGACCAACACUUCGUGGUCCGGCGGUUAAUUGGGAUUCCACACCCAAGAUCACCACAAGCACCGCAAGGACCUACCACAAGUGAGAUAGCUCAAUGACACGUGCAAUCCACUAAUGGUUGCCUUUGGCUCUCCGUUGGGGUAGGCACAAAACCCGUCACAAUCACCAGGAGAUGGCCACGAACAACCACCAACUCAUGCCAAAGCUCCGUCGCAGCUCCAAGCCGCCUAGGUGGUGGCAACCACCAAGAGUAACAAGCAAACCCACUGUGCAAUGAUCACUAGUGCCACUAGAUGCUCAAACUCUAAUCAAAUGCAACUAGGAUCUCUCCCAAUCUCACUUUGGAUGAUCAAAUCUUGAACAAGGUGAGUGGGAUGUGUGGGAGUAUGCUCACAAGAUGUAUCAACAAGUUAGAGAGUCAAGAGUGUGAGCAAGAACCGGCCAACACAUAUUUAUAGAAGCCCCAAGCUUCAAAGAGCCGUUGGCCACAAUCCCACUGUCGUCUGUGCUCACACCGGAUGCAUCCUAGUUCACAUCGGAUGCGUCCGGUAUUGGCUAGGACAGCGUUCGGUGCUUUCGACCAUUUAAAAAGCAUCUGUUGCCGCCAAAUUGUGUCUCCCUAAAACAACAGCACCAGACUCACUAUUUGGUCACACCGGACGUGUUCGGUCCAUACCGGACGCGUGCGCAGAGAGCUCCGCAAAAGAGUAGCAGCAUCAGAUGCACACACCGGACGCGUGCGCAGAGAGCCUUGCAAACAGAGUGAACACCGGACACACACACCGGACACGUCCAGUUUCACAUUGGACGUGUCUGGUCUCACACCGGACGUGUCCGGUCCAUACCAGACGCGCUGCACCGGACGCGCAGGGUGUACUGUUCCUAUGUCCGGUGCUACACAAAAAGUUGAUUUUCACUGUAACGAUCUUCAAUUUCUUCCCUUGCUUCCAUGGGCCAACACCAAAGUGUCACAACACUUGUGGACAUGUGUUAGCAAUUUUCAUAAACAUUUUCAAAGGUUAGUUCAUUAGUUCACUAGGUCCUAAUGCAUAUGCAAGGAAUCCAAUCACCUAGUGGCACUUAGAUAACUGUUUUCACCACGAGAUUACCCCUCUUAAUAGUACAGCUAUCUAUCAUAAGUGUGAUCACACCCUCUAUGGUGUCUUGAUCACCAAAACCAAAACCCUAAGCAAUACCUUUGCCUUGAUCUCCAUAGGUUUUUGUUUUUCUCUUUCUUCUUUUCCAAGUUGAGCACUUGAUCAUCUUGUGGUCAUCACUAUCAUUACUAUGAUCAUCACUUGCUCCAUCACUGGGCAUGUACUAACCUUAUUAAGUCUACACGCACUUAGUAUAGAGGUUAGUACUAGGGUUUCAUCAAUUAUCCAAACCAAACUAGGGCUUUCAAUCUCCCCCUUUUUGGUAAUGGAUGACAACCCUUUUUACAAAGAUUUUCAAUAAAAUUUUCUUGGAUUCAUGUUGCUUGCCCAAGCAUUUUACCAUGUUGUAACAUCCUUGAUGUUACGAACACUAAAAACGGAUCAUGUCAUCAUAAGCAUUGCAAAGCAUAUUUGUUAAGCAUAUUAUUAUGCAUUAACUUAAAACAAGUUUAUUUUGAUUGCUUGUGUUUAGGGAAGUAGAGUGUGCUUAUGUGGUGUGUUGAUGCUUGUGUGGUUGCUAAAGCCCUAGGGUGGAAGUUUUUCGAAAGGCUAAGGGGGGAAACCCAGAUUUUUGGAACCCUAGAUUUGCCCCCUUUUGCACAACUUGAAAACUAAGCAAAAUUUGAGGUUGGGUUCAAAAGAAAAGUUGUAGAUCUUGUCAAGAUGUACAACUUUGGUGUUUUGAGUUUUUGAAGAUUCAAUACAAAAUUCAAAGUAAUUUUGAAAAUACAGAUUUCCAGAAAGUGUCCCCUUUUCUAACUUAAACCCCCAAUUCAAAAUCCAUUUGGAAUUUUGAAAAGUGGUCAACAUGAAAGUUGUAGAGCACAAAAAGUUGAGCAACUUUCAUGUUGGGAGUUUUUCAAGUUGUUAUGAAAAAUCAAAAGUAAUGUUAGAAAUCCUGAUUUGUCCCCAAUUCAAAAAUUUGAAUUUCUUUGAAUUGGAUUUGAUUUUGCAAACUGUUUUGGUUAAAUCACUGGUUUCCAUUCAGAAUCAGCCUAGGACACUUAAAUAUAUUUUGCAGCUUAUAAAAUUGUGCACAACUUUUGUUUUGGUUGAAUUUUGUGCUCAGUUCAAAUUUUGGGCGAAUUUUACAAAACUACAAACUGAUUGGAUCAGGGUCGCUACAGUGUUCGGCAGGGGGGGUGCUCUGCCGCCGGCGCAGAGCCACCUCCGCGCACGCCGCCACGCAGCUGGCCACGCAGCUGCUUGCUGCUGUGCUUCGUGCGGACGUCCUCAUCCGCAUCGCAGGCGCCGUCGCGUGGAUAAAGCCUCGGGUGGCCGGGACUUUUCUUUUCUUUUACUUGAACCUUAUCGCCGACGAGCUCCAUGCGCCUCUCAAAUUCACCGCAAGCACGUCCUCUUCAUCUUCCCCGAGUGCAGCACCCACUUCGCCCGCGACCUAGCUACCUCUUGGACCCUUCGCCGCACGCUUUGACCCCCUAGCGCCACCAGCCGAGCCGUCGUCCCCAACUCCGGCCAGGACCGCCGCCGAGGAACUCUUCACGUGGACACGUUGCUCCAGUCGGUACCACGCCUUGCAAGUGGUCGCUUCGAACUCUUCUCGUUUCCCCGAUGCUCAUGCACUCGCUUUUUCUCCUUGGACGUGAGCAGGACCACCGGGACGACCUCGCCGGAGCCGGAGCACCCGCCCGACCGCACGGCCACCGUCGCCAAGCUUCUCUGCUGCUUCUCCCGCCAUGGUGGUGUGAGCACCAUGAUCCCCACUUCUUCCUGAACCUCCCGGACCUGUUGGUUUAUGCUCUACCGAGCCCCAAGGGUCGGUCCACGGCCGGCCAGGGCAGCCGCCCGCCUUUCGCGCGGCCGGGGUAGGAAGAGAACGGUAGAGCGUCCUCGAGCCGUAUCUAUGGGGUCGCAAGGUCAAGGCGCAACUGAUGCGCACCCUGGUGUGGGCUUGGACCUCGCCAGCGGCGACCGGGAGCGCAGCAAGGCCGCCGUGCACGAGGGAGAUGGAACUGACAGGCGGGACCCGCCUGUCAGCGUUCCGCAGAGAAAGGGGAGAGGAGAGCCUGACGAGCGGGGCCCGCUCGUCAGUGUCCACGUGAGGGGAGGGGCAGCGCGCGCAGCGCGUAUGCGGGCCGUGUGCGCGUGGGCCGGCCUGCGGGCCAAGUUCCAGGCCGUCCGCUGCGCAAAAAUCUUUUUCUUUUUAUGCGAUUUUUGCUUGAUGUUUGAAGUUGUGUAAUAAAUUGUGUAGUGGUCCAAAAAUAGUGAAACUUUUUGUGUAAAUUCUAGAGAAUAUUUAGAGCAUAGGAAAAAUAUUAGAAUUUAUUUCUUUGGUGGUUUGUCUGUUCAUAAAAAUUUACUCCUUUAAUUGGUAAAUAAAACUUCUAGAAUUUUUAAUAAUUUAUUUGUGUGUCCAAAAAUCACCAAAAUUUGUGGGGAGCCUCUGAAUAUUGUUUCCAGGCUUCACACAAAAUUUAGUGGCAUUUGGAAUGUUUGAAUAAAAUAUUAUUAAACCCUUAUUUAGUAAGUAAAUAAUAAUUCCAAACUAAUUAAACAAUGAUUAACUAAAUCCUCAUGAUUAGGGUUUGAGUGACUUUGGGAUUGUGUGAUGACCUGAGGUCAUUAAUCCUAAUGAACUUUGGCAUUUAAUUAUAGUUUGGCCUUAAUGCUUAAUUACUGUCAUUAGUAGUUAAGUAAGGAUUAACCAAGGUAAAUAGAGACAAUAAUUAGUUAGUUUAGGGUAAUUAUAAAUUAAGAAAAGUCUUAAUUUACAGAUGCAACCUCUUGGGUAAAAACACUAAAAUGGUAAACAACGUUAAUUAAUGUUUAUUCUGUGUUGCACCGAGAAGGCAAGUUGUACUUGACUUGACCCUUCUUGCAUAUUUGUCAUACGCACAUCAUGAGCAUUCAUCAUUUUGCGUAUAGUAUCCGUGACCGAAGGAGCGCCCGUUGAACCAAACCCCGAGGUCGGUGCUCCGUUCGAGGAAGUCGGAUCCGAGACUUGGGAAGUCUCCGAGGGUCCCUCUCUGCCCUGCAACCAAGGCAAGCCCCGGAUGCAUUAACCCCUCCUUGAAUGUUUUAAAUCUUUUAUCACUUAUGAAUUAAAAAUGCUGCAUUAGUUAGUUGAGAAUUGGGUUAACCUACUUGCUGCAUUUACUACCUUGAUAUCUGUUAUCCUGUCCUUGACACCUGUUCAUUUUAACACUGUGUAGUGAUGCUUAGCCCUGCUACUAGAUAGGGUUUCAAAUAAGAAAGUUUGAAGGGUUGUUGUGGAAUACAUUUAUGAUUAAUGAUGUUUUAAUCUGAGACCGGUCGGUGGACUGGCUUUAAGAAUGGAGUCUUAAAGUAGUGUCUCCAACUGUGUCGGUUAAGGACCGGUCCGUUGAUGGCCCGCUGGGUUGAGAAUUUAUAGUACAAGCCACUUGCCCUCGGUAAGCCCGGUCUUGUGAUCCCUCGACGCGAACAGCUACUCGCGCACUGGGAGUGGAAAGAUGGCGAGAGUAGUGUGUACCCACCUUACGGAUCUGAGAUGACCGGAAAACAUCUAGAUCGGCUGUAGGAUGGUGGAGUACUGUGCUCUCGCGUGCCGCGAACCUGGUCAAAUUUGGGGAGAGCUGGAUUUGGGUUGACAUAUGCAAGUUUUGGUUAUACAUAUGUCGGGUGGUUAGGAACUGCAGCUGGAUUGCUAAGCGGUUCGAAUCGUCGUUGCUCCCCGAUUGGGAGACUCAAUCCACUGCCCCUCAUCGUAGUUAAUUAUGCAACUAAGUGGUAAAAUGAGAAAGGGAGAAAUGUCUCAUGAGGUUCGGAUCCCAAUUCCCGGACUCAUAGCGACAUGAAGCUAUGGCCAUCGAAUAAAUAAUACUGUAUUUUAGGACUAGGAACUCACAGACUCGUCUGUGGGGAGACAACUAGUUAGACUGUCCUCGAACUCCUCGGCCUCGACGGGAGAGGAAUUCGCAGGUAAAACUUGAAAGUAAGGAUGCACUAUUAGUAAGCUUUUAGCAAAACACGUUGGCUCCUUGCUCAGCCACUCCUUGCCUACCCUAAGCCUGCAUUCCUAAGUUCUCCUCUUUUUCUGCCGGAUAAGUCUUGUUGAGUACUCCCGUACUCAGGGUUUUAUAACCCCUGUUGCAGGUGAAGCUCAGGAGCCACCUUGUUUCGGACCCUGUUGUGUGACCGUCGUCGAGGUUGACGACGAAGAAGAGUGAGCGUGACCCUUGGGCAGGGUCUGUAAAUUUGUAACCGAUGUAUUAAAGUCUAAGUUGCUCCGCUGGACCUGGUUUGUAAUAACACUCUGCUAUUUGGAAGAACUCCUUUUGUAAAAUAAGUUAUGUAAUACUUCCGCUGUUUUACUCUGAAAUAUUAUUUUGGUCGUAUGCCGUUUGUGGUACUGCAAGGUCUUCGCAACGAAUGAUCCUGGUGUUAAGGUGGCCACUUGCUAUCCUGUAAGGGCGAGAAGAAGAAGUUCUCGUUAAUUGACCAUCACCAGUGGUCAGGAGCCGGCUUGGCACGCCACAGGUAGCAGUGGAAUGAGCAUCCAGCGAUGCUCAUCGGACUUCUAAAGUGGGAGGAUCCUCGGCAUCGCCGUCAGAGGUCCUUAGGACAAUGACAGGUGCCGGUGGGCCCAAACACUUAGGGGGUUCUGCCACAGCUGGUAUCAGAGCAUUCGUUGCUAAGAUGACUGUUGUACCUCUUGAAAAACUUCAAAAUUCCUUUGGAUCCAAUACUAUAAACUGGUCUACUUUGAGUCCAAGUGCUUAGUCCUAACUUACCCCUGUCUAUAGGCUUUCUUAGAAUUUUUGAAGUGGUAUGGAGGAGCAACCUAGAGUAUUGCCCUAUGUUGUAAAAAAUUAAAGUAAUAUCGUUGCUAAUCGUUGGUAGGAAUCGUAAGUUCGUGCAUGCAUCAUGAUGUAUUAACUGGUUAAGUUUCCUUCCUCCUUGUUCGGGUUGGGUGAAUAGAACCAAACCUAUUCUUGCUAACCUUUAAGGUCUCUCUUACUAAUCUAAACUUAUCCUCUACAGGAUGGCUCGUCAGAAGCAGACCCCGCGUAAGAGGGCAGGUCCAAAAGGAGUUCCCCGACAUCAGUUGGCUCCACGCAGUGAUCAAGCCAGUAGUAGCCGUUCACCGCCUCAGCCGGAGGUGGACAGGUUGUCCGCCGAGUUGACUGAGGUGAUGAGAGAAAGAAUGUACAAUGUUAUGGAGAUCGGCAAACUCAAAGCUCAACUAGCCAAAGAAAAACAAGCUACAGAGAACUGUGAAGCCAUGUUGUCCCGUAUGGUGGAGGAGAGGAAUGCCGCCAUUGCCCGAGAGGAAGAAGCUAGGAGCACACACAGGCAUGAGCUGACUAGGAUGAAUGCGAAGCUGGGCAAGGCCAGGUAUCUUAAAGAUUUGUACGUGAAGAUGGCGGCCACGGUCACCGCGCAGCGGGAUGUCGCGUGGCAGCGAGAGGACCAGCUCCAGUUGGAGAAGCUGGAGCUGGCACAUCACUUAGAUACCGUCAAUGACUUGGAGAUGCAAUAUCGUGAUAUUGCAUUUGAUCUGUAUCAUCAGCUCCACCCACCUCCAGGCGAAGGGGAGAUGGAUACGGAUGGCGAGUUGGCAGACGAUGGGGAACCCGAUCCAGGCCUCAGUGAUGAAGGGGAGUCCGACCCUGAUGACAACAACCCAGGGGGUAAUCAGGAGGAUGGCAAUGACGACCCGGGCUACAGCUCUGGCCACACCGACUAGUUCGGUGAAACCGCGGGCAACGUCAUUGUAGGAGUCCUAGCUUGCCGUAGUGGGGGUCGGGUUUGUAAUAUAAGUUUUCUUUCGGUUUGAGAAGUUGUACUUGUUUGUUCCUGGUGUGUUGAACUAAUGUUUAAUGAAUGAAUGGAAGAAUGUAAGAUAUGUUCUAUGUUAUGAAGUUCAUGUGGUGACAAGUACCUAUGAUUCUUGUAGCAGAUGCCGAUGCGUACACGCGGAUCUGAUGGAGCUGGGACAUCUCAGGGAGGGGAUGAUAUCCCCAACCCUCCACCUGCUCCACCUUCUUUGGCCGAGGCCAUUGCUGUUUUGUUGAAUGCUACUACUGACAACGCUCGCUUGCUGCGCGAGCUAGCACAACAUCAACCACACCCCGCCCCAAACUUCAGAGCACCACGCAACGGGGACGGAGAGACUCGGUAUGUGGACUUUACCGAGACCAGGCCCCCGGUGUUCACUAAGGCCGAUGAGCCUUUAGAAGCGGAUGACUGGCUCCGGACCAUGGAGCACAAGUUUAGUUUGAUUCAGUGUUCAGAAACUCAAAAGCCCCUGUUCGCAGCUCAGCAGCUUCGGGGAGCUGCAGGUGCCUGGUGGGAGAACUUCUUAGCUAUCCAAGCUCCCGGACACCAAGUCACCUGGACCGAGUUUAAGGACGCGUUCCGCGCCCAUUAUAUUCCUGAAGGGCUCAUGGCCAUGAAGGCCGAAGAGUUUCUCUCCUUGCAGCAGGGCGACAAAAGUGUCAUGGAAUAUGUGGCAAAGUUUAAUCAUCUCUCUCAAUAUGCCACAGACCAUGUAAACACUGACAGAAAGAAGAAAGCCUGCUUCAUGCGUGGUCUAAAUACUAAACUUCAGACCAUGAUGACCACUUGCCAAAAUGCUACCUUCUAUGAGGCGGUAAAUAUUGCCAUCACCUCAGAGGAAAAGAAUAGAAAGCAUAAAGAAGCCAAGGAGAAGGCUGCUUCUUCAUCCUUCUCUGGUCGCGGCCAAAAGCGCUAGAGAAUCAUUUAUCAUCCGCAGGGCCACGGACGUUUCCAAGCACCGUCACCUUAUCGUGGUCCUUUCUCCCCUCCACAGUAUAGACCAGGGCAGCAGGUAUACCCUCGACCUACUGCCAUCGCUCUUGCACCACGCCAGCCGAACGCCCCAGGUGUUCGCCCCACUACUCCGCCCAGCCACAAUUAUCCUUGUUUCAAUUGUGGUAAGCCUGGGCAUUUCUCUAAAGAGUGCCCUUUCCCCCGCCAAACCAACCCCACCUUCCAAAGGCCACCUAUGGGCCAAUCCCAGCCGGGUCAAUUCAGGACUGGGAUUCAGAAAGGACAACCUGUGCAAAGGGGAAAACCAGUGAAGAAAGUGGGACAAGUCUUCCAUACGGAGGUGGAGACGAUCCCGGAGGGUGAACCAGUAAUGAUGGGUACGUUUCCUGUCGCGAAACAUCCUGCUUUAAUGCUUUUCGAUUCUGGUGCAUCUCAUACAUUCAUCAAUCGCACCUUUGUGUUAAAGCAUGGCAUACCCAUUGGGGAAACACAAGAUCAUUUUUAUAUACAGUCGCCAGGAGGACGACUGAGUUCUAAAGAAAUGGUUCACCAGAUACCCAUCGAAUUUGGUGGGCAUAAUUUUCCCACUAGUAUGAUUGUUCUUAAAGACCAGGAGAUUGAUGUCAUACUAGGCAUGAACUGGAUGGCACAACGAGGGUUGUGCUAGAUACUUUGCAUCGAACCAUUAAAAUCCCAUUGCCCAGUGAGAAAUCUUAUCUCCUGAUCCAGUUAGCCACUCCCAAGCGGACAAUUGGGCAAGUUCAUGCCACUAAUGUGUCGGCAGUUAAAGAAAUCCCGGUAGUUCGGGAUUUUCCGGAUGUAUUUCCUGAAGACCUACCAGGUCUGCCUCCGGACCGGGAUGUACAAUUCAGUAUAGAUUUGAAACCAGGGACGGCCCCAAUAUCUCGAAGGGCCUACAGAAUGGCACCGAAAGAGCUGGCUGAAUUAAAAACCCAAUUACAAGAGCUGUUGUAGAAAGGUUUUAUUCAGCCCAGUUCUUCUCCCUGGGGUUGCCCAGCCUUGUUUGUGAAAAAGAAAGAUCAAACAUUAAGGCUGUGUGUCGAUUACCGUCCUCUAAAUGAGGUGACGAUUAAGAACAAGUACCCAUUGGCCCGUAUUGACUUACUGUUUGACCAGCUAGCUGGGGCCAAAGUAUUCUCAAAAAUUGAUUUGAGAUCUGGGUACCACCAAAUUAAAAUUAGGCCGGAAGAUGUGCCCAAGACAGCUUUUACAACCCGUUACGGACUGUAUGAAUACUUGGUGAUGUCCUUUGGGUUGACCAAUGCACCGGCCCAUUUCAUAUACCUGAUGAACUCUGUCUUCAUGCCAGAACUAGACAAAUUUGUCGUCGUCUUUAUUGAUGACAUCUUGAUCUACUCCAAGACUAAGAAAGAACAUGCUGAACAUUUGAGAAUCGUGCUGACUCGUCUCAGGGAGCAUCAGCUAUAUGCCAAGUUCAGCAAAUGUGAGUUCUAGCUGGACAAAGUCCAUUUCCUGGGUCACGUGUUGUCAGCUGAGGGAGUCGCUGUAGACCCAGGCAAAGUAGAAGAUGUGUUGAAUUGGAAACCCCCGACUACGGUACAUGAGGUCCGUAGUUUUCUGGGUAUGGCGGGAUAUUACCGUCAUUUUAUUCUGGACUUUUCAAGAGUCGCCAAACCAAUCACGACCUUGCUCAAAAAUCAAACAAAAUUUGUUUGGUCACCUCAAUGUGAGCAAGCCUUUCAGACUCUGAAAAGAUUAUUGACAACUGCACCUGUCUUAGCCCAGCCAGACAUUGAAAAACCCUUUGAUGUGUAUUGUGACGCAUCAGGGAUAGGGAUAGGCUGCGUGCUAAUGCAGGAGGGUCGUGUAAUUGCCUAUGCUUCCAGACAGCUCAAACCACAUGAAGAGAAUUACCCGACCCAUGAUCUAGAACUAGCCGUCGUGGUACAUGCAUUAAAGAUCUGGCGUCAUUAUCUGUUGGGGAACACAUGUCAUCUAUACACCGAUCACAAAAGCUUAAAGUAUAUCUUUACUCAAGCUGAGCUUAAUAUGCGCCAGCGAAGGUGGCUAGAAUUAAUUAAAGAUUACGACCUUGAGGUGCAUUAUCACCCUGGUAAGGCAAAUGUAGUAGCUGAUGCCCUCAGUCGUAAGGCUCACUGUAAUUGCUUAACAGUGACGCCGAGGGAUAUAACUUUGUGCCAAGAGCUAGAGAACUUGGGGAUAGAAAUGAUUUCCCAGGGAAGCCUUGCCAAUCUAAAGAUUGAUUUCAAUCUCGAAGCUCAAAUCAUAGAGGCACAAAAAGAAGACAAAGGCAUGAAACAUCUUAAAGAGAAGAUUUCUAAUAGAGCACCCACAGACUUUAAGGUGGAUGAUACAGGAGUAAUCUGGUUCAAGAACCGGUUAGUGGUUCCAAAGGUACCUGACCUACGUCAACGCAUCCUAGAUGAAGCUCAUACCACGAGGUAUUCUAUUCAUCCGGGAAGCAAUAAGAUGUAUCAGGACCUAAAACAGAGGUUUUGGUGGACAAAAAUGAAGAUAGAAAUAGCUCGCUAUGUGGCCCAAUGUGACACCUGUCGAAAAGUCAAAGCUAUUCAUCUCAAAUCUGCUGGGGAGUUGCAACCUUUGCCUAUUCCAGCCUGGAAAUGGGAUGACAUAAGUAUGGAUUUCAUAGUGGCGUUGCCCAGGACAGCCAAAGGCUUUGAUUCAAUUUGGGUCAUCGUAGAUCGUCUCACCAAAACAGCACACUUUUUACCUGUAAAGAAAUCGUAUCAUACUUCCACCUAUGCUCAGAUUUAUUUUGAUCGUAUCCUAAGUCUGCAUGGGGUGCCAAAGACAAUAGUGUCAGAUAGAGGCACACAAUUUGUCUCCCAAUUCUGGAAAUGUUUACACGAAUCCUUGGGUACCAAACUUUUAUAUAGCACAGCCUACCACCCUCAAACAGGUGGGCAAACUGAAAGGGUAAAUCAAACUCUAGAGGAUCUAUUGAGAUCUUGUGCCCUGAAUUUUCCAGAUAAGUGGGAUGACUGUUUGCCUCUAGCAGAAUUUUCUUACAACAAUAGCUACCAAGAGAGUAUCAAGAUGGCUCCCUUUGAGGCACUAUAUGGCCGUCGAUGUCGAACUCCGCUACACUGGUCGGAACCCGGAGAAAGAUGGUUCUUCGGGGUUGACUUAGUGAAAGAGACUGAGAACAAAGUGAAACAAAUCCAAAAAUAACUUGAAAGUUGCUCAGUCCCGACAGAAAAGUUACGCUGAUAAAAGACGUCGACCAUUAAAGUUCGCCAAAGGUGAUCUUGUGUAUUUGAAAGUAUCCCCAAUGAAAGGAGUAAAUCGUUUUGGUAUUAAAGGCAAGUUAGCACCCCGUUACAUUGGUCCAUUUCCAAUCAUUGACCGAUGUGGACAGGUAGCUUACCGCCUUAAAUUGCCCGAACGAUUAUCCGGGAUACAUAAUGUGUUCCAUGUGUCUCAACUGAAAAAAUGUCUGCGGGUACCAGACCAAGUUCAAGAUAUUGAAGAUGUAGAACUUGAACCAGAUCUAACUUAUUCGGAGUAUCCUGUCCGAAUACUGGAUCAAAGAAAUAGAAUUACUCGAAGAACAACUACCAAGUGGUACAAGAUACAGUGGAGCCAGCACUCUGAAGAGGAAGCCACCUGGGAAUCUGAGGACUAUCUACUGGAAAAUUUUCCUGAAUUCCACGCUUCUCUUCAGGGCAACAUGUGAUAAAUAGGGAGUGUACUCUAGUGAAGGAAAAGAGUCGUCAGAGCCAUGUACUUAAUGUACAUAUAUAUGUCUAUAAUUGAGUAAUCCUCCCCAACCUCUUGCUUUAUGGGAAAGUUGAAGAUGAAAGAGUGUUGACAAAUUUCCUUUUCCAUUACUUACCCUAAGGUUUUAAAUCUCGGGGACGAGAUUUCUUUAAGGAGGGAGGGCUGUAACAUCCUUGAUGUUACGAACACUAAAAACGGAUCAUGUCAUCAUAAGCAUUGCAAAGCAUAUUUGUUAAGCACAUUAUUAUGCAUUAACUUAAAACAAGUUUAUUUUGAUUGCUUGUGUUUAGGGAAGUAGAGUGUGCUUAUGUGGUGUGUUGAUGCUUGUGUGGUUGCUAAAGCCCUAGGGUGGAAGUUUUUCGAAAGGCUAAGGGGGGAAACCCUGAUUUUUGGAACCCUAGAUUUGCCCCCUUUUGCACAACUUGAAAACUAAGCAAAAUUUGAGGUUGGGUUCAAAAGAAAAGUUGUAGAUCUUGUCAAGAUGUACAACUUUGGUGUUUUGAGUUUUUGAAUAUUCAAUACAAAAUUCAAAGUAAUUUUGAAAAUACAGAUUUCCAGAAAGUGUCCCCUUUUCUAACUUAAACCCCCAAUUCAAAAUCCAUUUGGAAUUUUGAAAAGUGGUCAACAUGAAAGUUGUAGAGCACAAAAAGUUGAGCAACUUUCAUGUUGGGAGUUUUUCAAGUUGUUAUGAAAAAUCAAAAGUAAUUUUAGAAAUCCUGAUUUGUCCCCAAUUCAAAAUUUUGAAUUUCUUUGAAUUGGAUUUGAUUUUGCAAACUGUUUUGGUUAAAUCACUGGUUUCCAUUCAGAAUCAGCCUGGGACACUUAAAUAUAUUUUGUAGCUUAUAAAAUUGUGCACAACUUUUGUUUUGGUUGAAUUUUGUGCUCAGUUNNNNNNNNNNNNNNNNNNNNNNNNNNNNNNNNNNNNNNNNNNNNNNNNNNNNNNNNNNNNNNNNNNNNNNNNNNNNNNNNNNNNNNNNNNNNNNNNNNNNNNNNNNNNNNNNNNNNNNNNNNNNNNNNNNNNNNNNNNNNNNNNNNNNNNNNNNNNNNNNNNNNNNNNNNNNACGUAAACUUCAAACUAAAGCAGCAGGACCACCGGGACGACCUCGCCGGAGCCGGAGCACCCGCCCCACCGCACGGCCACCGUCGCCAAGCUUCUCUGCUGCUUCUCCCGCCGUGGUGGUGUGAGCACCAUGAUCCCCACUUCUUCCUGAACCUCCCGGACCUGUUGGUUUAUGCUCUACCGAGCCCCAAGGGUCGGUCCACGGCCGGCCAGGGCAGCCGCCCGCCUUUCGCGCGGCCGAGGUAGGAAGAGAACGGUAGAGCGUCCUCGAGCCGUAUCUAUGGGGUCGCAAGGUCAAGGCGCAACUGAUGCGCACCCUGGUGUGGGCUUGGACCUCGCCAGCGGCGACCGGGAGCGCAGCAAGGCCGCCGUGCACGAGGGAGACGGAACUGACAGGCGGGACCCGCCUGUCAGCGUUCCGCAGAGAAAGGGGAGAGGAGAGCCUGACGAGCGGGGCCCGCUCGUCAGUGUCCACGUGAGGGGAGGGGCAGCGCGCGCAGCGCGUAUGCGGGCCGCGUGCGCGUGGGCUGGCCUGCGGGCCAAGUUCCAGGCCGCCCGCUGUGCAAAAAUCUUUUUCUUUUUAUGCGAUUUUUGCUUGAUGUUUGAAGUUGUGUAAUAAAUUGUGUAGUGGUCCAAAAAUAGUGAAACUUUUUGUGUAAAUUCCACAGAAUAUUUAGAGCAUAGGAAAAAUAUUAGAAUUUAUUUCUUUGAUGGUUUGUCUGUUCAUAAAAAUUUACUCCUUUAAUUGGUAAAUAAAACUUCUAGAAUUUUUAAUAAUUUAUUUGUGUGUCCAAAAAUCACCAAAAUUUGUGGGGAGCCUCUGAAUAUUGUUUCCAGGCUUCACACAAAAUUUAGUGGCAUUUGGAAUGUUUGAAUAAAAUAUUAUUAAACCCUUAUUUAGUAAGUAAAUAAUAAUUCCAAAAUAAUUAAACAAUGAUUAGUUAAAUCCUCAUGAUUAGGAUUUGAGUGACUUUGGGAUUGUGUGAUGACCUGAGGUCAUUAAUCCUAAUGACCUUUGGCAUUUAAUUAUAGUUUGGCCUUAAUGCUUAAUUACUGUCAUUAGUAGUUAAUUAAGGAUUAACCAAGGUAAAUAGAGACAAUAAUUAGUUAGUUUAGGGUAAUUAUAAAUUAAGAAAAAUCUUAAUUUACAGAUGCAACCUCUUGGGUAAAAACACUAAAAUGGUAAACAACGUUAAUUAAUGUUUAUUCUGUGUUGCACCGAGAAGGAAAGUUGUACUUGACUUGACCCUUCUUGCAUAUUUGUCAUACGCACAUCAUGAGCAUUCAUCAUUUUGCGUAUAGUAUCCGUGACCGAAGGAGCGCCCGUUGAACCAAACCCCGAGGUCGGUGCUCUGUUCGAGGAAGUCGGAUCCGAGACUUGGGAAGUCUCCGAGGGUCCCUCUCUGCCCUGCAACCAAGGCAAGCCCCGGAUGCAUUAACCCCUCCUUGAAUGUUUUAAAUCUUUUAUCACUUAUGAAUUAAAAAUGCUGCAUUAGUUAGUUGAGAAUUGGGUUAACCUACUUGCUGCAUUUACUACCUUGAUAUCUGUUAUCCUGUCCUUGACACCUGUUCAUUUUAACACUGCGUAGUGAUGCUUAGCCCUGCUACUAGAUAGGGUUUCAAAUAAGAAAGUUUGAAGGGUUGUUGUGGAAUACAUUUAUGAUUAAUGAUGUUUUAAUCUGAGACCGGUCGGUGGACUUGCUUUAAGAAUGGAGUCUUAAAGUAGUGUCUCCAACUGUGUCGGUUAAGGACCGGUCCGUUGAUGGCCCGCUGGGUUGAGAAUUUAUAGUACAAGCCACUUGCCCUCGGUAAGCCCGGUCUUGUGAUCCCUCGACGCGAACAGCUACUCGCGCACUGGGAGUGGAAAGAUGGCGAGAGUAGUGUGUACCCACCUUACGGAUCUGAGAUGACCGGAAAACAUCUAGAUCGGCUGUAGGAUGGUGGAGUACUGUGCUCUCGGGUGCCGCGAACCUGGUCAAAUUUGGGGAGAGCUGGAUUUGGGUUGACAUAUGCAAGUUUUGGUUCUACAUAUGUCGGGUGGUUAGGAACUCCAGCUGGAUUGCUAGCGGUUCGAAUCGUCGUUGCUCCCCGAUUGGGAGACUCAAUCCACUGCCCCUCAUCGUAGUUAAUUAUGCAACUAAGUGGUAAAAUGAGAAAGGGAGAAAUGUCUCAUGAGGUUCAGAUCCCAAUUCCCGGACUCAUAGCGACAUGAAGCUAUGGCCAUCGAAUAAAUAAUACUGUAUUUUAGGACUAGGAACUCACAGACUCGUCUGUGGGGAGACAACUAGUUCGACUGUCCUCGAACUCCUCGGCCUCGACGGGAGAGGAAUUCACAGGUAAAACUUGAAAGUAAGGAUGCACUAUUAGCAAGCUUUUAGCAAAACACGUUGGCUCCUUGCUCAGCCACUCCUUGCCUACCCUAAGCCUGCAUUCCUAAGUUCUCCUCUUUUUCUGCCGGAUAAGUCUUGUUGAGUACUCCCGUACUCAGGGUUUUAUAACCCCUGUUGCAGGUGAAGCUCAGGAGCCGACUUGUUUCGGACCCUGUUGUGUGACCGUCGUCGAGGUUGACGACGAAGAAGAGUGAGCGUGACCCAUGGGCAGGGUCUGUAAAUUUGUAACCGAUGUAUUAAAGUCUAAGUUGCUCCACUGGACCUGGUUUGUAAUAACACUCUGCUAUUUGGAAGAACUCCUUUUAUAAAAUAAGUUAUGUAAUACUUCCACUGUUUUACUCUGAAAUAUUAUUUUGGUCGUAUGCCAUUUGUGGUACUGCAAGGUCUUCGCAACGAAUGAUCCUGGUGUUAAGGUGGCCACUUGCUAUCCUGUAAGGGCGAGAAGAAGAAGUUCUCAUUAAUUGACCAUCACCAGUGGUCAGGACGAGCCGGCUUGGCACGCCACAGGUAGCAGUGGAAUGAGCAUCCAGCGAUGCUCAUCGGACUUCUAAAGUGGGAGGAUCCUCGGCAUCGCCGUAAGAGGUCCUUAGGAUAAUGACAGGUUCCGGUGGGCCCAAACACUUAGGGGGUUCUGCCACACAUGUGCAAAGGUUAUGGACAAGUUUCAUAAACCCAAAUUGGUAGCAAUUGCUCCCCCUACAUAUGGGCUAAGAGUUUGGAUAUGAAAGCUUGCACAUAUGCUUGAAUAGGAAAUGUAGGAGUCAAUUUCUACCAAAUGAUGCUAAGGUGUAGAGAAUAGACCUUUGAAGCGUGAUACCAAUUGGAGUUGCCAAUGUACACCAUCCUUAGCACCAUUAGUAACUAGACUUCCACAAAGCUAGAACACCCUAUGAGAUCAAUAUUAUAAGCAAGGUUCUAGUCCUACUUGUGAGAUAACUAAAAGUCUAGUUACACUACCUAUACAUGCUAGUUCUUCAUUUUAUCAAUCAAACCUACAACUAUCAUACACCACACAAGUAAGGUAUUGGAGAGAAAACUACUAAAGCUAAUGCAAAUGCAAGCAAACAUAUGUGAUGCACAUUAAAAUGCAACAUGCAAGUUUAUGAGCUUUCUCCCCCUACUUGUGUGCUUCAAAAUUUUAAUUGAUCCCCUUCUUUUAUCAUGUUACUUCCCUAUCUUUGUACUUCUUUGUAAGUUCUCUCCUCUUUAGUAAAUCUUUGGGAAAUUCUCUCUCCCUUUGUCAUAAAUGACCACAAAAGCUGAGCUGAAAUUAUAGAUAGGUUAGUGUGAAACCAUGUGAAGUGAGAUCAUUUUCCCAAAUUAGUCCAAUCUAGAUUACUUGCCUAAGAUAUUUAACUCGGUUUGAUCCAAUGACAAGCUUUUUCACUCCUCUAAGUAAGGGUUAUCUUGUAUCAUGUUCAGUUAAACACUUAUAGCUCAUAUUCUAGAUCAAACACUAGGAUUGCAAGCCCAAAAACAUGUCAUAUGCUACCACUAGAUCAAGUCAAGCAUAGAAGCAAUAGUGGUACCAUACAAGCAUCAAAUUUAUUUGAUUUUCAUGAAUGAUCCUUAGACAUAUAAGAAAUGACUAGAUGCAUUAAACAAGUCCUUAGCAUAGGAUGGAUGACAUGUCAAACAAUUUUACCUUGCUUUGCUUGAAGGAGAGGCGUGUCAUAUAAUGGGGGUGCAUCAACACAUAUUUGAGAAGUCAAGUAUGUUCAACUCAUUCCUUAGCUUGCAAAACCUCUUCUCAUCAAGUGGCUUGGUGAAUAUAUAGCAAGUUGAUCAUCGGUGCCUAUACUCUCAAUGCGAAUGUCCCCUUUUUGUUGGUGAUCUCUUAUGAAGUGAUGGCAGACAUCUAUGUGCUUUGUUCUUGAGUGUUGAACUAGGUUGUUGGUGAGCUUCACGACACUUUCAUUGUCACAUAGCAAUGGCACUUCUUUAAAAUUUGUCGGUUUUUCCCCCCGGGGGGUCACACCAACUAGUAAAUUUGUAUGGGUGCUCCCUUUUCCACAUGGUGAUGCAAAAAAACACAAAGAUUUAUUCUGGUUCGGGCAAGAGAAAGCCCUACGUCCAGCGGGGGAGAAGUGUUUGUAUUAUUCUGCACCUAAGUGCUUGUACAGGGGUGAAUACAAGCGUGGUGUGAAUGGAGAUGGAGUGAGCUUGCUCCACUACGUAUGGCUUGAGUCUUGUGUUGUAUCCACUCCCGGGCCUCCCCUUUUAUAGUUCCAAGGAGGGGCCUAGGGUACAUGUAUAGGAGUCAGUGUAGGGAUCGGUAGAGGUAUGGCGCACUGACCUACUCGAGGUCUCCGUACCGGCGUGGCCUCGAGCCGUCCCGUCCUGGUAGCUUGAUGAUGAUCACGCAUGCCCUGGUAUCCUGCUCUGCGCGCUGUCCUGGGCUGGUUUAUCUGUUGCAUGCUUGUACGUUGCGGCUGCAUCUGCAUCGGAGUGGUUGAGGUGCUGUCACUCGACGCCCGACCCUUCUCCAGGAAGGAAAUGUGCCUACUCGAGGGUCUGGUGCCGUAUAACGCCUGGCUAGCUAGAGCGCUGAUCUUGGGCGUCGUGAGGGGGGCUUUGAUUAGACAUCUCGACCCAUUCCCUGCAACCUACCGCGCUCUGGCUUAUUUGGUGGGGAAUGCUGCAAAAAGAAUGACGAGACGGAUGCCUGUUCCCUAUCACGCUUCCCGUGACUGGCGGGUUAGGUGAGAACGCGACAGGCGCAUUAGAUGCCCUGGUUCCUGUGCCCGCGUCAGGCGGCGGACGGCAUCCUUGCGCUCAACGCCUUCUGAUUCGCUCUAGCCUGUUUUCGUGUUCGACGAUAGCCGAUUCUCGAGCCCUGAUCAAUUCGUAGGACGCUCUUUCCGUGUUCAAGUCCAUGACCGUCGAGGACCGUACGCGUGACUAGGUAGAGCGUCGAGCUGGAGGCCUCGACUUGCGUACGGGUAUUCUCGUCAUACACAUCAGUUAGGGUACCCCUUACUGAUACCCUCGACAGUAGCCCCCGAGUCUCCAUUUGAGCGCUGGCGCUCGAGUGGAGGCUAUAUUUUGUGGUCGAGUUUCCGUGGGGGCGCGCGAGUGACCCCGCGGGGGUAGCCCCCGAGCCCUUGGAGGAGUUUUUGACUCCUUCGAGGGUUAUAUCGCCUAAUUUGCAAAAACGCUCUCGACGCCUGUGGUGGAAGGUUUCCGAUUGGCUCGUUUUGCGCAGGAGUCUCGACGUACUCUCGAUAGAGCGAGCGCCAUAUUCCCCAGAUUGAGCUCCUAGCGGAUGAUCCAAGUGAGAACCUAUGCCCCUUUCGAGGGGGUCCGCUGUAGCCCGGGGGCGUUCUCAUAGAGCGGGGUCGACGUGGUCGGGGAUGCUGGUCUCGUUCGAUAGAGUCCAGUGGCUCGAUGCCUCCCUCCGGGGGAUUCCUCUCGACCGUCUCAACCCUGCCUUGGACAUCCCCAGCGAGUUCUCGAGGCGGGCCUCGAUUUUCGACCGCUCGCCGGGCAUCCCUGACUCUGGUGCUCGAGAUCGGCUGUCGAACCCUUCCGGCGGGUCAGCCUGCGACCUCUCUAGACUUUCAUGGGUGCGUACCUUGGCUUAUAGGGGAAGGAAAAGCACAGCGGCGGUUCACCUUUUUGCCCGUUGGGCGUGUCUUUUCAGGCGGGAGCCGUUGCAACACUGUAUCGGCGCAGAAUUCGUAGCGUUCCGUCUGUGAGGAGGGAAAAGACCGUUAGGUGGCGCAUUUAUGGGGGGAGUUACCGUGUUUAUCGGAUCUGUCCGUUGGUGGGUUGCCGUCUAUAAAUAUCCCGUGGCCUUGUUGCCAAUCUCCCUUCCGCCGUCUGCCUCCAUUCUCGCCUUAGCUCCCUUGCCUCCUCACUCGCACGCACCCUCAAGCACCAGUGAGGUCGCUUUUCUCCCACUUGAAGAUGCCUGUGAGGCUCGUCGCCGUCGACGACUGGUGCCCAUCGUCGAUGACGGAGCGCCGGCUGUUGGAGCUUGAGAGGGAGGGGCUCCUGUGCCCCUGCACGUCGUCGUCGUGGCCGGAGUGGAUCGCGCCGGCGGCGGAUCAUCGGGAGCCUAGGCCGCCCACGGGCUAUGUGGUCUCCUUCGCCAAAUUCCACCGCCACGGCCUGGGCGCUCCUCCGAGUCGCUUCAUGCGGGCGCUCUGCCAUCACUACGGGGUGGAGCUCUAGCACUUCUCCCCAAACGCCAUCACCGUCGCGGCGAUCUUUGCCGCGGUGUGUGAGGGUUAUUUGGGGAUGAUGCCCCACUGGUGUGAGGAAACCCGUGCGGGCUGGGUGCCUCAAUCUGGUGUUGAAGACCGGCAAAACGGAGAGGCCGCGCGAGUACAUCCCGGUGGGAUUGUCAUCGAACCACGCCGGAUGGGACUCCCAGUGGUUCUACUUGCGGAACGACGAUGGCCUCCUUCCUGCCUACACCGACCGCUUGAUCUCGGAACGCCCGGAGAACUGGACGUACGGCGUCGUCCAAGUCCACCAAUCGCGACUCGACCCCCUCCUCGACGCUUUGAAGAAAUUACGCAUGGAAGGCCUACCCGCACCUCUUGUCCUCUCGGCCGUUCAUCAUCGGAGGGUUCUCCUGUUGAUGUCUCGGCCGCUGAGGAUGUACGAGAUGGGUCCCGGCGUUUCAUCCCGGGACCUCGAAGCGUGCCAGAUGUCCGACGAGGCUCUGGCGAACGAUGGGGUCGCGGCCCGGGUCAGGGCGGCUGUCGCUGGUGACUUCAAGGCGGAGCAUGUCAACGGCUUCCCUAUGAGGCCCGACAUGGGGUCAAUUGACCUGGUAAGUCUCUAUGAGCCUGAUUCUCGAUUUUCUUCGAUUUUCUUAUGACUUGUCCUUGUCUGCGCAGGGAUCGAUCGACGUUCGAUCCUCGAGACCUCCAGUGAAGGAGGACGAGGUCGAUCGUGACAAGCGGCGAGAGUCCGCGGAGAAGCAGAAGUCCGUAUUGGACUUAAAGAAGAAAAAGGAGAAGAAAAAGAACCUCGAUCGCCAAGCUCCGGAGGUGCGCCGAGUGAAAUCCAGGCAGAGGGGGAACCUGAGGAAGAGUCCCCUGAUGAGGAUGAGGGCGAUGAUGGCAACGAUAGCGACGAUUCGGAGGGAAUGGCGUCCCGUCUCGACCGGAUCCUCGAGGGUCCGCCUCGUGCCGACGCCGAUGCCCCACAAACGGGAACACCAAAAGAGGGACCAGGUGGGUCUUUUGAGAGGCAGUAGAGGGAGUCGUCCCCUCACCGCUCCCGUGCUGACAUCCCUCCCGCGCCGGCUCAAAGUCGGUCCGUCCCGCGCCCCCAACCUCCCCCUGCGCCAAAGGCGGGCGACUGGGCCAAGCCCUAGCCGAUGGGGCCGUUGACCCGUGGUCGUGCCGCAGCCUCCGGCAAGGGGGAAACAAGCCGCAGGAGCUCUAGCCCUGGCGCUCGUCAGGCCAGAGACGCCGAGCUGAGGCUUGCGCCCGCUCGUGAGGGGCCUAGAGCCUUAACACGAGGCGGUUCAAGGCCUGCCGGUCGAGGUACCGGCAGGCGGGCCGUCCUCCCUGUGGGGUAAGGUUUUCGACACUAUGAUUCUCAUCUUCCUAUGUCUUUGUGUUUUCUUCGUGUAACGGCUUCUUUCAUGCCCGUUCAGGUUGAAGCGGACGCUCGAGCAGGCCCAGCCCUCGUUGGCCAAAAGGCUUAAAGUAGGAGCAGCCUCCAAAGGUUCAGGUUAGCAGCUUAUUCCCGUCGUUAUGGGACAUGUGUUGUUCUUACGUCGAUCAUCGUGACGACUGACCUUUGCUUUUGUGUGUUUUACAGGCUCCUCCGACCCUCGAUCGCCGACCGGUGCUAAGAACGCCCCGCCCCGUCCCUUGGUGGGUGAAUCUGCCCCAUCGUCACCAAAAUGGUUCGAGGCACCUCCCCCCAAGGGCAGGAGGGAGCCCCCGAGCCUCCCCGAUCCGGGGUCAAGGGGGAUCCUAUCACUAUAUGUGAUGGAUCUGGUGGCGACGGGCCCUCGAAGGACGCUCGUCCUAUGGACGAGGAGGCCCAGACCUCUCUCGCCGCAAACCGGACGCCCUGGCCUGCCGGGCUUCGCUCCGUCGAGGAGCAGAGGAAGAAGGAGGAGGAGCGCGAGCAGGAGACGCGGCGGCAGCCGCAGGAGGGGCAGCAGCUGCAGCAGAAAGAAGGAGAGGAAGGGCAUCCGCCAGCUGGUCCCCAACUCGAGGAGCUGCUAGAGCAGGAUCGUCAACGGGAGCUGCAGGAGCUCUAGGAGCAGCAGCAGCUGAGGGGCCAACAAUUGGAGGAGCUGCUCGAGCCUCCCCUCACAGUCCGCCCCAACCAGUGCCACCAGCGCCGCAAGAGCCUGGAAACCAGGAGGAGGGUCUGCCAGUUUUCGGUCCUCCAACCCUGGCGUGGCUCCGUCCAGGGGCGCCCGCCUCGAUCCCAGUAGAGUCAGGGCAGGUGGACGGCGUGGUCGCGCUCACUUGUAUAAUGCACACCCCCGUUGACCCCCAAUUCGAGAUCAGGCGUACGAUCUAUGGCAUGGAUGGAAUCGCUUCGGGAUUCCUUCGAGCGCGUCGAUCGUGGGAGGACUGUUGACGGUUCUUAAGUAUCAAUUUUAAUUAUCAAAUAAACAAGAGAAAGGACCAAUAUGCAACCAGCACAUAGAAUUAGGGUUUGAUCUGACAGAAUUCCACGAGUUUUGUUGUUUAUCUAUUUCUGCAGGGGGUUAUCAGGCAAUAAGGAAGAAAGGCCCACAUGUCAGGAUUACAUAGAGAUAUCAACGCACCGCGCAAUUUUACAUCAUCUAGAAGACUCCAGAAGCCACGAGACCGAAGCGGAGGCGAAGCUGGGCCAGGCCCAGGGCGCCCGCCCUGGAAGCCUGGGCGCCCGCCCCCCUUCUGGAGCCAAUUCAGGACUCCUUCGCUCGGGAUAUUCCACCGACCUAUUGGAUCAAGAAAAACAUAGUACCGCCUCGGCUAUCGACCCAAAAACGCAUAGAAGGGGAGGACUAUAUAAGCGAGGCCCCCUGGCCCCUGGAAGACAUGAAGAAAUUAUCAUAGAGACUGAGGGGUGCCCUCGAAGGAAAACCUCUUCACUAAUUAAUAUUUCUUUUUAGGCUUAGCAAUCAAUGUAAGGUAGAAAUAGAUCUUCUAGUUUCUACUAGAUUGAGAGAUAUAGAGUGGAGGUGUAGAUUGGAGGAAGCCCGGCCUGUCGGUGUCUACUCCAAGCUUGUACCUGCGGGAUCAAGUUCUCCUAACCCGAAGCUUGCUCCUAGGAUUCUUCAGUAUUUCGACUUCUAAAUUCUAGUAAGUUCUUGUUUUAUUGUUCUUAUGGUUUAUGAGUUUACUUUAAUCUCUUCGCGUAGAGUUUAGAGUAAUCAUUACUGGCGUAAACGUGGUGUUUAGGCUGGGGUACUCAUAGAUAUUCCCUGACUAGCUGGACCGUGGUAGUAGUGAGGAACGUGACAUUUUCGAGCUACCUUUGUAGAUCACAUCUCGUUAGCAGGAAGGAUAGGGUUUAUAGGUGCGGGUCGAACAUCCUUUUUGGUGUCUAGAUUCCGUUAGCCUCCCCAUUAGAACAGUAGAUCAUCCUUACCAAGGUUAGAAGGAGACUACGGUUGCAGUCUUCUCUAUUUAUCACUCACAUCGAAAGACAUUCUUUGUGCCCAAAGGUUAGUAGUAAUAGACCGGUUAGUCAGAUGCACUCUUUCUCCUAGUGGUAAAAAAAUAAAUACGAUACUCUGGAUAAUUUCCCGGGUGAAAUGCUCACCGAUAUCCGUGCGCUUGCGGAUCAAUUCCUUAUUGCGUUCCCAAAUAUCAACAAGCAUUUCUGGCGCCGUUGCCGGGGAGAAAGACGGUUGCUGAGAUAACCUGUGUCUUGCUAUUAGCUUGUAUCUAUACUUUUAUCUUUUUGUAUCUUUUAUAUUCUUUAUUUAUUUUCUUUAUUCUUACCUUAUGGAAAAUCAAAAUUCUAAAUCGAUCCAUGAGUGUGCAAUCCCUUUAGCAGCUGACCUUUUACCAUGGGAAUCAUCACAGCCUAUCCAAACACCCCAGUAUAAGUUAAGUUCUAGGUUGAUUGCCAUGAUUCAAAACCUAUCUUUUUCGGGAAAGGAAGACGAAAACCCUUACCUUCAUAUUAGAGAUUUUGAGCAAACAUGUGAUUGUCUUCGCAUUGAAGGCAUUUCUGAUAAGACUUUACGUUGGAAGCUUUUUUUACUUUUUCUCUAAGGGGAGAAGCUAGACAAUGGUACAGUCAGAAGGUAAGUCAACAACAAGGUGAAUGGGGAGUCUUACGAGCCAACUUUUGUCUAGAUUUCUAUUCCCUUGACCGUAUAGCCGACCUUAGACUCGAAGUCCUAUCUUUUAAACAAAAAGAUAAUGAAACUUUGGGAAAAUCCUGGAAACGUUUUUCUGAUCUUUUAGAAUCUGGUCCAAACCUUAAUCUUGAAGACCCUGUUCUUUUAUUUCACUUUUUUCGGGGUCUUCAUAAAAAUCACAAACAAAUGCUACACACAAUGUCUAGAGGUUCUUUCUUUCGCAUCCCUGCUGAUGAAGCUAGAGUGAUCCUAGAUAGAAUCCUAGAAGCUGAGAUGGAUAAUACCCUUCAUGAUGAAACCUACGAAGCCGAAGUAGACACUCUGCCAAAUUUUUCAUCUACUUUAGCUAUCCCAAGUUCUGAGCCACAAGAGGAAGAAAUUCCACUACCGGACUUCAUGCUGGAUAUAGAAUCCGAUCUUUUUGCCGAUUUUGGAAAUAUUUCAAACUACCAUUCUAUUGACAAACCCCAAAACGGCCAGUUUAGCAUUUAUUUACCAAGUGAAUAUCAAUUGAGAGAGCUUAUCUCAGUGAUGAGUAGCGAAUGGUUGGAGGAAUCAGAGCUUUCCUCUGAUGUGAUCCGUUUGGACACACCCUCUAUAACUAUACGCUGUGCUUAUAACUCUGAUCGAUUUAAUGCUCUUUAUAAUCCUGUUGUGGGGAUCAACAUUAUGUCUGAAUCUUUUGCACUUAAACUAUUUAAAAAUCUUGUCUUAACCCCCACAACAAAGGUCAUAAAGGAAUCUUCGGGACGAUUAGUCCCCAGUCUUGGAAUUAUUAAUGUCCUACCUCUUACGGUAGAAGGCUCCAUGGUUCAUUUGAACUUCUAUAUCUUUGAUACAUGGGACUUCGACUUAUUGAUAGGACAACCUUUUAGAAGACUCCUUUAUGAAGGUCAUACUGGAAAGCUACACAUUUCUUUUGGAAAAACUUUUCAAUUCCCAAUGAUAAUUUCACACUCCUUAAAUAAUAAGGCCGAGUCAUAUCUUUUGCCUGAUCCUAUGGAGGAAGUAAAGGCUGCAUCUCUAGAGCUUUUUGAUGAACCAGACUUAGAAGACGAAACUCCUUUCUUCACAGAAGAAGAAGACGAACCUUCCGAGCCUGAACCCUUAGAUGAGUUUGCAGAAACACCUAGACCCCCUAUAGAACUUAAAACUUUACCACCCGGUCUUACCUAUGCUUUCCUAAACAAUAAUCCAGAAUUCCCUGUGAUCAUUAGCGAUAAACUCAAUCAGGAUCAAACUCUGCGAUUAAUGACCAUUCUUGAGAAACAUCACUCAGUUUUUGGCUACUCACUUCAAGACCUUACAGGAAUCAGUCCUAUGAUUUGUACCCAUCGUAUUCCAACAGAUCCUUCUGUUACACCCUCUCGAGAACCCCAACGUAGACUUAACAACACUAUGAGAGAGGUAGUUAAAAAGGAAGUUAUAAAGUUGCUGCAUGCAGGGAUUAUAUAUCCUGUGCCGCACAGUGAGUGGGUAAGCCCAGUACAAGUUGUGCCUAAAAAGGGAGGCAUGACAGUUAUUAUGAAUGAAAAGAAUGAGCUAAUUCCGCAACGCACCGUCACAGGAUGGCGGAUGUGCAUAGACUAUAGAAAAUUAAACAAAGCCACGAGAAAGGAUCACUUUCCUUUACCUUUCAUAGAUGAGAUGCUAGAGCGGUUAGCAAACCAUUCAUUCUUUUGUUUCUUAGAUGGAUAUUCAGGAUAUCACCAAAUCCCGAUCCAUCCUGAUGAUCAAAGCAAAACCACCUUUACAUGCCCAUAUGGAACUUAUGCUUACCGUAGAAUGUCUUUUGGGUUAUGUAAUGCACCAGCUUCUUUUCAAAGAUGCAUGAUGUCUAUAUUUUCUGAUAUGAUUGAAGAGAUUAUGGAAGUUUUCAUGGAUGAUUUCUCUGUUUAUGGAAAAACUUUUGAUAGUUGUCUUGAAAACUUAGACAAGGUUUUGCAAAGAUGUGAAGAAAAGCACUUAAUCCUUAAUUGGGAAAAAUGUCAUUUUAUGGUUAGAGAAGGAAUAGUGCUAGGACACUUAGUGUCUGAAAGAGGGAUCGAGGUAGACAAAGCUAAAAUUGAAGUAAUUGAACAGCUACCUCCACCUGUGAAUAUAAAAGGAAUUCGAAGCUUUCUUGGCCAUGCUGGUUUUUAUCGUAGAUUCAUAAAAGAUUUUUCAUUUAUUGCUAGACCACUUACUCUUUUGCUAGCCAAGGAUGCUCCUUUCGAAUUUGAUGAUGCAUGUCUAACAUCUUUCAAUUUUAUUAAAGAAAGCGCUCAUCUCUGCACCAAUCAUUCAACCCCCUGAUUGGUCGUUGCCUUUUGAAAUUAUGUGUGAUGCUAGUGAUUAUGCUGUGGGGGCAGUAUUGGCACAAACUAAAGAUAAGAAGCAUCAUGCAAUUGCUUAUGCCAGUAAAACUUUGACAGGAGCUCAACUUAAUUAUGCAACCACUGAAAAAGAGCUUCUGGCUGUUGUCUUUGCCAUUGAUAAAUUUAGAUCUUAUUUAGUUGGAGCUAAAAUAAUUGUUUACACUGAUCAUGCUGCAUUAAAAUAUUUGCUCACUAAAAAAGAUGCUAAACCUCGCCUGAUUAGAUGGAUCUUAUUACUCCAAGAAUUUGACUUAGAAAUAAAAGAUAAAAAAGGAGUAGAAAAUUCUGUUGCUGAUCACUUGUCUAGAAUGUAUUUUAAGAGUCCACAGGAAACCCCUAUCAAUGAUUCACUCCGGGACGACAUGCUCUACGGGAUUAACAGGUCUGACCCUUGGUAUGCAGAUAUUGUUAAUUUUAUGGUUUCAGGGUAUGUACCACCAGGAGCAAACAAGAAGAAGCUUACUCAAGAAAGUCGUUCACAUAUAUGGGAUGAGCCAUACCUCUUCCGAGUAUGCUCUGAUGGCUUACUCAGGAGAUGUGUGACCACUGAGGAAGGAUGGAAGAUCAUCGACAGAUGUCAUUCAUCACCAUAUGGAGGUCAUUAUGGAGCAUUCCGUACACAUUCAAAGAUCUGGCAGUGUGGAUUCUAUUGGCCUACAAUGUAUGAAGACACGAAGCAAUAUAUCAGGAUAUGUGGGCCAUGUCAAAGGCACGGAAACAUAAAUACAAGGGAUGCAAUGCCACUCACCAACAACCUUCAGAUUGAGCUCUUUGAUGUCUGGGGAAUAGACUACAUGGGUCCAUUUCCUCCAUCAAAGAAGUGCGAGUACAUCUUGGUGGCGGUUGACUAUGUCUCCAAGUGGGUAGAAGCAUUACCUUGCAAGCAUGCCGACAACGUCAGUUCAAAGAGGAUGUUUGAAGAAAUUAUAUUUCCAAGAUUUGGAGUUCCCAGAGUAGUGAUAAGUGAUGGAGGAGCACACUUCAUCGACAAACGUUUCAAGCAAUAUCUAUCAAAACAUGGAAUCCGUCACAAUGUCACUACCCCUUAUCAUCCUCAGACAAGUGGCCAAGCAGAUACUUCCAACAAACAAAUCAAGAAUAUUCUUCAGAAGAUAGUAAAUGAAAUGGGAACGGCGUGGAAAGACAAGUUACCCGAUGCACUCUGGGCAUACCGGACAGCAUACAAGACCCCAAUUGGAAUGUCUCCAUACCAAUUGGUGUACGGGAAGACUUGCCAUCUACCUGUUGAACUAGAAUUCAAAGCACACUGGGCCAUAAAGAGAUGGAAUAUGGACCUAGAUGUUGCUGGAGAUUAUAGAAGAAUGCAAUUAUCAGAAUUGGAAGAAUGGCGAGAGAAGGCAUAUCACAAUUCAAAGAUCUACAAAGAAAGAGUCAAACGGUGGCAUGACAAGAGAAUCAAGAAGAAGGAGUUCACACCCGGAGAUAAGGUAUUACUUUUUAAUUCCAGGGUGAAGCUUUUCGGGCAUGGAAAACUCCGGAGCAAAUGGGAAGGACCAUUCAAGGUAAUCAAUUCAUCAUCCCACGGAGCUAUCACACUUCAAAAUAACGAAGGUACGUUAUUCAAGGUAAAUGGUCAACGUCUUAAAUUAUUUUUAGAGCCCAAUGAGGAAUUUGAAGAAAUAGACGUAGUCCAUUUUUACCUUCCCAUAGAGAAUUAGAGCCCGACACUUUUGGUCUGAUGGUUUUGGGUCAUAUAUAUAUAUUUCUAAAUAAUUUCGCAUCUAGAAACACGCUCGGAAAAGUGGGCCCAUAGAGGGGCCAGAGAGAGGGCGGGCGCCCACGUCAAGUGGGCGGGCGCCCUGCCCCUGUUCCCUCUCGGUCCCGACUUUCUCUGUUAUGGAAAAUGCACUUAUGGUAAUUCGAAUAAUCCCUCGGACGGAAAGUUUCCCACGCAAGUUGACGGGAGUAACCCGAACAACCCAUAGAGGCACCCUUUUGACCCCUAUAUAAACAGACCCCUGACCUCAGUUUUCAAACACUAAGCCAUCAAGCUUUUUCUCCUUCAAUUAGAGCUUGAUUAGCUCGUCUUUAAUUAAAAUUUUAUUUCCUUGCUACUCCAAUGGCCGAGAAGUACCACGAUGAUUGGGAAGUCGUCCCCUUCAACCUCAACAUGGAGCCAGUGGGAGACCCCGAUGCCCGUGCUCUCGUCCCGGCCAACACAGAGCGUCAGCUAGAAGCCAUACCAUUACGCCAACGCAGCUCCGCCCAAUCUUACCAUGCUCAACCAGUUCUCACCGCACCACCACAACCCCUACUCCUCAAAGGAUCAUCAUCUAAGACGAAGACCACUAUCAAGGUGUCAAUCGGCACAAGAGUCCUUCCACCUAGACCCAAUGAGAGGGUCGUUGGAGUCAAGACCAACCGAAGCGGUGAGAUCAGCAGUGUUCGCUACACUACGGAGGAGGAAAGGCCUUACUUUGAAGGGAUUAGAGCAGCCAAAGUCCGUUUCAUCCCUCCAAAGGCAGCCCCGAAGCACGCUCUCAAUGCUUUUGAGACACCUCCCAAGCGUCGCAAGACUAUAAUGGAUAUUGAUGAGGAAGUUCGCAGGCUAGAUAGAAUUAUCAUAGACCUCCAGUCCUCGAUUAAUUCCCUCACUAGGCAGCUCUCUAACCACAACACCGUUAUACUAGGCCUUAGGCAGGAUCUUGCCAGUGCCAACAAGAAGAUCAAAGAAUUAGAGCGCCGCUAAGUUAUCUAGAUUAGACCUUGAGGCAGUGCAUCUUAGUUUUCUAUCUUUAAAUUCGGUUUAAGUUUGCUUUUAUAAGUUUGCUAUUAUUAUCAAUUUGUUAUCAGUUUGCUAUCAGUCUUUUGUAAUAAAUGCCUCAAGAUCAAUAAAGAGUAUUAUUAUUAUUAUGUUUUGUGUGUCUCUACUUUAUUUUUGUGCAAGAAAGCAGAAAACAAGUAUGGGGGAGAUCCCUCAACAUGCCAACCACACUCCGACUACACCACUCCACCACUCAGGUACACACUCUGCACACUUUACUUUACACAUAUACAUAUUUUGGAUUAUGCAGAUUACUGUUUCCGACAUGAUAAAUUAAAAAGAUUAAAAUAUUUCUAAUCAUGAUUAAUCUCAAUCUGUGAUAUUUCCUGAAAACUUGCAAUUAGUAUAAAAUCAUUUUAAAACCCUGUGUUACUUAAGUCAAUAUGGAAUAUGUGAUGGUAGAGUAUGAGUUUCUUAUUCUUGAUAUCAUCGUUGCUUGGAGAACUUAUUUCAAAAUAUUCAAAUUUCUAGCUACCAUCCUCAGUGUUUUAUAUGCCUGAUAAAACUGAAAUAUUAAUUAUGAUUAUAAAAGCUAUCUGCUCUGUAUUGAGUUUGUUCAAAAUGAGUUAGACCCUUGUUGAGAGAUUUAUCAUGCUCCCAAGAUCAAGACAUUAUUUCAGAAAGAUUCACUCUUCCGAAGUAUUAUUGCAUUAGAGGCAUGGGCUAUGCAAAAAUAGAAGAUAUUUUGAGGAAAUAAAAAGGAGCAAGUGCUCGACAACCUCGCAGAAAAAAUGGACAAGUGUCCGGCAGUAGAAUUAGGGGU
This 46106-nucleotide long non-coding RNA is filed under the name Sorghum bicolor (sorghum). RNAcentral describes it as "long non-coding RNA (SBIC_LNC004946)". Lineage: Eukaryota; Viridiplantae; Streptophyta; Magnoliopsida; Poales; Poaceae. The record is from RNAcentral.